This 50332-nucleotide long non-coding RNA is filed under the name Theobroma cacao (cacao). RNAcentral describes it as "long non-coding RNA (TCAC_LNC004268)". The record is from RNAcentral. Lineage: Eukaryota; Viridiplantae; Streptophyta; Magnoliopsida; Malvales; Malvaceae.
CUAAAGCCAAGACAUUAGAGGUUAAGAAUAUUGAAGGAAAUUAAGAAUAGACUCAUUGUAUUAUAUAUGUCAGAUUGGCAUCUGACAGACAUUAAGAAAGCUAAGCACAAACACCAGUAAAACAGGUUUACUAAACUCGGAUUCUAAAUUGGAUUCUUCUUCUUCUUUUGCAAUUUGGAUCUUAAUUAUUUGACCAGAUCUUGCAGACCUUUGAUGAAGUUAUUGAUAUAUUCUUCUUGAAGAUCUAUGUUAGAAAGAAUCUUCUUGAGGUUGGUAUGGUUUCUCUUCAACAGACCAGAUAUUUCAUUGUCCUUGUCCAUCACCAACUUGAUGGCUUUGCUCAAGUUCUCCUUGGAAAUCUUGCUGUUUUCUCCUUUUUCAGCUUCAACAGCAACCUUGAGUUCCUCUGCCCUUAAUCUGGUUUUCAGAACUUGAUCUCCUAAGCGGGGAAUCAACACAAUUUGGCAGUCACUGAGCAAAGAUUCCCACAUGGUUCUUGGACCACAGUGAUUCACGAAACACCCAAUAGAUGGGUGACUGAGUAACAGCUCUUGGGGAAACCAACCACCAUGCAGCAACCCUCUUCCUUGAAUCCUUUCUUGAAACCCCUCAGGCAAUGCCUCUUCAAUCCUUGUGCAUUCGUCUGGUGGUGUUAAAGCCACCAAGAAAGGUUGCCCUGAUAACUCAUGCCCAAGAACUCACUCUUGAAACUCCUCCUUUUGCAAUGUAAUCUGGCUCCCAAAUGCACAAAACACCACAGAACUUGGCUCAAAGUUGCUUAGCCAAUUAGCCCAUUUGUCUUCAAGCUGCGUGGCAUUUGUUUCAGGGAGGCAAGUCCCCCGUUAGCAUUACAGGCUUGCCAAAAUGUUGAGCAACAUAGUCACAGUAAGGUCCCUCAAUUUCACGGUGAGCCCUAAAGGCUAUGACAUCACUGUCAUUCAUGCUAGUUAUUAUCCGGUCCCGAAAUGACAAUCCUAUUCCAAAGAUUUUCAGCGCACUUGUCAGAACGGAAGCCUCUUCAGCUCUGAGUUUCACCUUGGAAGAAGGAUAACCAGGAGGAACUUCUAUCAACUCUUCUACAGUCAUUUCCUUUGUAACUUUCUUUGUCAAGAAAUAAGCGUGUGCGGCUGCAGUCACCACGGCAUAGUAAAUGGACUUGAUGUCGAUUUGGUGCGCCAAGGCUGGAAUCCAAUACCCGAAAUCAUAGAAAACUAUAUCAGGCUUUAUAGACCUUAAAAUGGCUUCAACUUGAUCUCGUGUUUGAUCAAAUGCAAUAGCAAACAAGCUAUGCAGUGGUAGAGGAACAUCGGAUGUAGUUUGGGCGCCUGGCAGGAUACCAUCUACAUGGGAAACAACAAGAGGAAAGAACUGAAUAAGAUUUGGAUAUUGGUUAAGUUGUUCCAACUUUGGCUGUGCUCCUUUAGGCAAUAAGAAGGAGACCUCGUGGUCUUUCUCAGCAAGCUUGUUUGACAGGUGAAGGAAAGGGAUGAAAUGGCCAAAGGAAAACCAUGGAAACAUGGCUACGUGAAGCUUGGAGGUGUUGGAGUUUUUCAUCUUUGCCUUGCAAACUGUGUUACUGUGACUGAGUUCAAAGGAAGUUAUAUAUAGGGGUAUUUUUAAAAGUACCCCUUAAAAGAUAAGAUACUUUUAAAAAUAACUCUCUUUAUAAUUUUAACUAUUUUUAGCUAAAUUAGAUAAAAUUACCCUUAAUAAAAUAACACGCUAUGUUGUUACAUGUCAUGUACAAAAACAUAUGAUACGCUAUGGUUAAGUUGUUACAUGUCAUGUACAAAAAUAUGUGACAUGUCAUGGUUAAGUUGUUACACGUUAUGUUAAAAAAAAAUACUGUUGUUACACGUCAUGUACAAAAACAUGUUACACGCCAUGGUUAGGUUGUUACAUGCUAUGUACAAAAACAUCUGAUAUAUCAUGAUUAGGUUGUUACUUGUCAUGUUAAAAAAAAAUGUUAUUGUUACACGCCAUGGUUAGGUUGUUACACGCCAUGGUUAGGUUGUUACACGCCAUGUUGAAAAAAAAUACUGUUGUUACAUGUCAUGUACAAAAAUAUGUUACACGUCAUGGUUAAAAAAGAUUAUUACAUGUUAUGUUGAAAAAAAAAUAUUGUUGUUACAUGCCAUAUUGAAAAAAUAUUGUUGUUACACGUCAUAUUUAAAAACAAUUUGUUACACUUUAAUGCCUAAAAUAUUGUUGUUAUUUACGAACCAAAACUUCAAUUCCUCUCAACUCUCUUCUUUUUUUUUGUUUUUUUUUUGAUAAUUUAGCGCCAAUUAAAGUGUUUAUAAUAUGUUUUCAUAAAUCAAAACAUAAAUUUUUUUAUCUAAAACACCUAUUUCAACUAAAAAUAAAAAAAUUUCUUUUGAAAACCUAGGUUUAUAAAUUUCAAAAUUUUGAGUUUAUUGGUGUUUAGGUCUCGAAUUGAUUCAAUUAAGAACUAUUUCAAACAUCUAAGAUCAUUUUUACCAUUUUAAUUUUAUCCAAAAUACCUACAAAUCAAAUUCUCUAAAUAGCUACUCACCAAAGCACAUCAAAACCAUUACUUGGUGUCUUGAAAACACAAGAAAGAAAAAUCUUAAAAUGAGAGAGAGAGAAAUCGGAAGUAUAGCAGACGAAUGUCGAAGAGAGAAAUUGAUAAAAUUUGAGAGAGUAGGAUGGUGAGAGAGAAAUCAGAAGCACAAAUGGAGAAAAAUUGUGAUGAAUGAUUUAAUUUAUUUAAAAUAAUUUCAAAAGUAUUUUUGUCAUGACUAAAUAUAAUUAAAAAUAAUUAAAUUUAUUUUAAUGAUUAUUUUUAAAAUAUUUUUAUUAAAAAAAUUUAUUCCUUAUAAUUUUCUCUUAUAUAUAUCAACAUUACGUGCCUGACAAAACUGCUAGAAAUUUUGUCGGCAUGGCCAAAAUGCAAGUCAUCAUAGUAAUUUGCCAUGACAGCAGCCAAAUUUAUAUAAGACCCUACUUGACUUGACGUAGACAUCCUUUCACAGCAGAAAAUGGGUGGAAUAAUUAUCAAAAACUUAAAAUUUUAUUUUAUUAAAUUAAUUAAAUAAGUAAACCGUUAUGUUAACUUUACAUGAAAUAAUUUAAAUAAGGUGGGCCAAGGUGGGGCUCCUUUCAAUGGUACAAAUGCCUUUAAUGAGAGGACACUCGGAAAUGAUCCCUUCAUCAAUAUGAUCCACUCAUACAAAGCCCUUCUUAAAUUAAAAGUCACUUAUGACAUUUGGUAUUACGUUAAUAAUUGAGUUCAAUGCUGGUAGGAGCUCAACAACUUGAUGUAACAAUAUUUAUGAAAAAAAGAAUGUAGAUUCGUGGUCGUAAACGUGUCGCUGGAUAUUGUGCAUUUAUUUGUGUUGAAUUAUUGAGUAAGAUGUAUUCGAUUAAUCAAAUGAAAUAGUUGGUUCAAAGUAUAGUCUUUCAUGUAAUUUUGUUUAACUUUAACACGUUUUUACUAAAUGAAAGUUCAAUCGGAUGAUAUGAGUUUCUAAUCAAUUCGAUAUCCAUAUUAUAUUAGUGCAAUCCAAUUCCAAAAAUUUUUGGGCUUAAUUGUCUCAAUAGCAGCCCCUUCAGCUUUGUAUCUCACCUUGGAAGAAGGAUAACCAGGAGGAAGCUUUAUCAGCUCUUCUACAGUCAUUUCCUCUGUAAUUUUCCUUGUGCUAUGCGCGUUUGCGGCUUUAGAGAACAUGAAAUAGCCAAUGGGCUUGAUGCCGAUUUGGUGAGCCAAGGCUGGAAUCCAAUUUCCCCAAAUCAUAGAAAACCAUAUCAGGCUUUGUAUGGCCCUUAAAAUGGCUUCAACUUGAUCUCGAGUUUGAUCAAUUGCAAUAACAAGCAAGCUACUUAGUGGCUGAGGAACAUCAGAUGCAUUUGUUUUGGAUAUGGCAAUUUCUGCGAGAAUGGAACUAAGGAACUGGGGGAUAUGAAGAAAGAAGUCACGACUACGAGGGAAGAGAUGUGGAGUAUGAAGUCAUAUCAACUAUUGCGCUGAUCCUCCAACAUGUGAAGCCGGUAACCAAUUUAGAGGCUUCAUCACAGUAGUCGGGCCCUUUUAAUAGUAAGGAGGCACGACUGAGGGACAAUGAUACUAGUUAGAUUAUAAGUUUAUUUAUUUAUAUAUUUUUUAUUGAUUGCAAUAUCGAAUAGUUUGUAAUUUUUUAUUUAUUUUUAUAAAAAUCAAAUAUUUUUUAUAAAUAUUAGUAUUUUUCAAUAUUAUUAUUUAUUUGUAUUUGCAUUAUUCAUUUGGAAUGACAACAAGAAUGAACAAAACCAAACAAUUUCAAUGGUCCUAGAAAAAAAAUGGUUUCAGAUACAUUCCACUUUAUUACUAAUGGAAUUACCAAUUGAUAUAGCAGUUUACCGACGAAAUUAUGUACAGCGUUAAUGAUAGAAUAAACUUCAUCAUCGGCAGAAAUGAAGACAUCAUCGAUGAAAACUACAUACAUUCGAACUACUGAGCUUCAUUAGCACUUCUGUUCAAAAUUCUGUCUAUAAAUUACUGGCAAAAUUUGCCGAUGAAAUGCUAUCAAUAUAGACCAAUCAUCCCUCCGACGGAUUGGAUGCUUUGUUGACUGAGUUUUCGAUAGAAUAUUCUGUCAACAAUUUUUCAAUGAAAUAUUCAAAUACUGAUGGCAUGCCCUUUACCGGUGGUGAUAUUUUCUAUGAAUUUUGAACUUUUAUCAACGGAAAUUUUCAUUGGUAAAAGUGUUAAAUUUGGUAGUGGAAUAGCACCUGAGUAUUGGUUCAUUGGUUGGUGCAUUAUCCCCUACCUAAAGAGUAGGGUUCGAAUCCCCUCUCCUUCAAUUAUAUAAAAAAAAAAUAGUAGUGAAAUAACUAUCGUUAGUCAAAAUGUCACUUGUUAUUUCAUGUCACAUGAUGCUAACAUGACAUGUUGAAAAAACAUAAUGACAUUAUUACGUGAUAUUUUUCAUGCUUUGUGUCAACGUCAUAUGAGUAUAAAAACUACAAAAUGACAUUUUAAUUAAUCACAGUUAGUCAAUCUUUAAUAAAAAAGAUCUAUAUGAAUUAAAAUAAAAGUACAGGUUUUUAAUUUAACGUAAUAAAAAAAUAAAUUUUUUUAAUAACUUAGGAUUUAUUGCAAUUUGGGUUUAGGUCUACAUUAGUUUAUAGAUGGGUAACAAUUUAUUGCAAUUUGCAAGACAAAUCUUUCAUUCCAAUUUGAGGGAUUCUUGACUGUUAAUCAUAUUCAGAUUUUAUUAUCAAGGAAAAUACAUCACGCACCAAUUAUUUGAGAAACCACUAACAUUGUUUAUUUAUUUAUUGUAUGGAGCAAUUAACAAUGAGUUCAUGCACUUUUGGACUUUUGAGGGAUUGGGUGAGGAGAGAUGCAUAAAAGAAAAUGAGAAUAUGAUGGAAUAAAUAUAGUUUGUUUUUUUAAUACCCCAACUCAAAAAUACGAUUACAUUAUUAUGUUUCCAAAAUCUUAAACUUGAUAAAUAGGUUUUAUUAAAAUUACUUAUAAAAUAUUUGAGCGUAAAAUAGAAUAGUUGUAUAUUAAGGACCUUUUAGCAAAUAGAGUGGUUUUAUUUUAAUUGGAGUCUGAUUAUAUUAUCAUGUUAAAAAAAAUAGUUAUAUCUUAUCAUAUUUUAAAAAGAAAAUCAAUUGAUUUUAUUUAAGUCAAUUUUAAAAAGAGAAGUAGUAAGACAAGUUUAAAGAAAAACAGGUAAAGUCAGUUUAUUUUAUCACAUAUAAGGAAGUUAAGGUUAGUUUUUAUUAUCAUGUUUAAAGAAAAGAAAAAAAAUACAGCAAAAAAAAUUAUUUGGGAGAAACUAAUCCUAUAGAAGAAGGUAGAAAAAGGAAAGAUUUGUUUAAGAAAGCAGUGAUUAAGGUAUGAUUAGGUUUUGACUUUAGUUUAUGUUUUUUUAAAUUUUGUUCAAAUUCGGUACUGUUCUGAUGACUUUUCAGUGGUAUGAUGGGUACCAAUGGAAAGGUCUUGAAAAGAUCUUUCCAAUGGUUUAUGUAGCUUCUCGUUUGGCUUUAUGAUUAAAAAGAUACGAACUUUUGAAGUUGAUUGGAAACCUGAUUUUAAUAGUUUUGACGAUCCAACUUUGAGUCAACGGAACUUCAUAUUCUGGUAACAUUUUGGGUUGUUUCUUUGAGGGCUUUUGCAGUAUGAAAUGAGGUGUUUAAUUUGGUGUCAAUGGCUUAGUUAGGGCUUCCUAAGUUAGGAGAAUUAAAGUCUCAAAAUAGGUUCGUUGAUAUUAAAAACCCAGAAAUCUGAGUAAGUAUGAUGAUUUCUAAAAUUUUGGCUUUUGAAACUUGAGAAUCUUGUAUUCUUUUUAAUCAAAACAAAUUUUGGCGUUAUAGUAUGAUAUGAAUACUUCAAAUUGGCGUUGAAUUUAUCAUUGGAAAUAAUUCGGGUUAAGAGUUAUCAGUGUUUGAAGUAAGCCAAAUGGUCAUGAAAAUAUGAAAUUUCAAAAUUUAUGAGAAUCCAUUUUUCAUUAUUUCAAAAAUUAUUCUUGACCUAUAUUCAACCUAUUUUGAUAGAAACUUCAGAAAUUUAAGCUAUUUGAAUUUUAGUGAAUUUUAUUUAUGAAUAAAUAUUUAUCUGAUAAAUUAAUUUGAAUUGACAUAUUUUAAAAAUUUUUAUUAAAAAUCUUCAGAUCUAAUUUUUGAUUUGUAUUUAAAAUAUUAUUACCCAACCUCAUAUUGUUACUGAUUUUGUACUAUAAUCUAUGAGUUUCUAAGUUUUGAAUAUUUUAUGUAUUUAUAAAUUAUUAAAGGAAUAAAAAUUGAUUUUCGAUCAGAAAAAAGAGGUGCUGCACCCUAAAUGCCUUAGAAUGACCACCAAAGAGUCGUGGUUCGUUUUGAUAGGUUAGCAAUGCUGUUUUCUAAUUUCGAGUAUUUUGAAUUAAUAGACUUCAAGAAGAUUUUAAUUCUUUGUCUUUUGAUUUUGGUUUUAGCGAAUCAAGUAAGUGACAAAUAUCUCUUCGGUGUUUUCAUACCCUAAAAUUUACCUCAAUGUGAUUUUCAUACUUAUAUAUGAUAUUUUGUCCUAUGAUUUGUUAAAUCGGGUGAGCAUGCUAAUAAAUGUAAGUAAAUAUGAUCUCUAUGCUGAUUUUUGGAAUAUGAUUUCGAUUUUUGUUUUGGAACAUAAGUUUUAUCAUUGUAUGCAUAUAUGAUUAUCUUUAUAAAUAUUUAAUUUGAAACGAUUAUGUUUUUGAUAAGCAUGAGAUAGUGGAUACACUAUUUUGAGAAAUUCGGGUAGUACAAAAAUAUAUGUUUCUGUUUUGUCUCCUAGUAUGGUUAUGUUAUGAUCCUGCCAAUGGGGGUUAAAUGUUGACCAUGUCGACAUAUAUUUUGUGAUUAGAAAUCGAUCUCCCAACCGCACCACCAGUUACAGAAUAACAGUAUUUCUGAUAUCUGUUCAGAGCAGCCAAUGAUUGCUUCUGAUAUGAUUAUGACCCAUGUCACAAGGGUUAAUUGUGGUUUCGAUACGAUUAUGACCCAUGCCACUAAGGUUAAUAAUGGUUUCUGCUAUAAUUAUGACCUAUGUCGUAAGGGUUAAGUAUGACCAUAGUAUGUUAUAGGAGACCAAUAAAAAUUUGAAAUUAAUGUGAAAUUAUGUUUUGUUCUGUUAUUUGAAAGUUUCGAAAUUGUGUUAGUUAUGUUAUUGGAAGCAAAAUUAUGUUUGCUUUUAUAAUUUAAAAAUAAAAUUUUGAAAUAUAUGUUUCUGAAUGAGAUUACUCAAAAUUUUGUUUUGACACCUAUAUAUGAAUUAGUAAUUUGGGCUUAAAUGUUUUGAGCAUGCUUAACCCGAUUGAAGAGAUUUCCGUUACUUACUGAGUGGUUGUACUCAUUCAAUUAAUUUUCAUCAUUUUACAAAUUUCAACAUCUUUGCAUGUUUGGGAGUUAGACUUGCUUGGCAAGAGUUUUGGUUAGCAAAAUUAACGUAUGCCCUUGAAUAAUUAUAAGCUUUGAUGUGAGUAAUUAGUUUUUAGUUUAUUAAGCAGAUGUUAGCUAGAUCAGAAAUUUUGUAUCAUUGGGGGAUUGUAUGUUAAUAUUAUAUUUUGAGACUUGAAAUUUUGUGAGGUGUCAACUUUGAAAAGAUUGUGGAGAUAUUAUAUUGAUUAAGUAUGAUAUUGUUGCCUUGCAUGCUUAUAGAAUUUGUCUCAUAAGUAUGUGACGUUUGUUAUGUUCUAAAACUUUGAGUUUGGAACGUGACAUUUUUCAUCCCCUACCGCUAUUCAAUUCAUUUAGAGCCAAGACAUUAGAGAUUAAGAAUAUUGAAGGAAAUUUACAAUGAACUUAUUGCAUUAUAUCAGAUUGGAAUCUGAUAGACAUUAAGAAAGCUAGGCACAAACACCACUAAAACAGGUUUACCAAACUCGGAUUCUAAAUUGGAUUCUUCUUCUUCUUUUGCAAUUUGGAUCUUAAUUAUUUGACCAGAUCUUGCAGACCUUUGAUGAAGUUAUUGAUAUAUUCUUCUUGAAGAUCUCUGUUAGAAAGAAUCUUCUUGAGCUUGGCAUGGUUUCUCUUCAACAGACCAGAUAUUUCAUUGUCCUUGUCCAUCACCAACUUGAUGGCUUUGCUCAAGUUCUCCUUGGAAAUCUUGCUGUUUUCUCCUUUUUCAGCUUCAACAGCAACCUUGAGUUCCUCGACCAUGAAUCUGGUGUUCAGAAUUUGAUCUCCUAAGCGGGGAAUGAACACAAUUUGGCAGUCACUGAGCAAAGAUUCCCACAUGGUUCCCGGACCACAGUGAUUCACGAAACACCCAAUAGAUGGGUGACUGAGUAACAGCUCUUGGGGAAACCAACCACCAUGCAGCAACCCUCUUCCUUGAAUCCUUUCUUGAAACCCUUCAGGCAAUGCCUCUUCAAUCCUUGUGCAUCCGUCUGGUGUUGUUAAAGCCACCAAGAAAGGUUGCCCUGAUAACUCAAGCCCAAGAACUAACUCUUGAAACUCCUCCUUUUGCAAUGUAAUCUGGCUUCCAAAUGCACAAAACACCACAGAACUUGGCUCAAAGUUGCUUAGCCAAUUAGCCCAUUUGUCUUCAAGCUGUGUGGCAUUUGUUUCAGGGAGGCAAGUCCCCGUUAGCAUUGCAGGCUUGCCAAAAUGUUGAGCAACAUAGUCACAGUAAGGUCCCUCAAUUUCACGGUGAGCCCUAAAGGCUAUGACAUCACUGUCAUUCAUGCUAGUUAUUAUCCGGUCCCGAAAUGACAAUCCUAUUCCAAAGAUUUUCAGCGCACUUGUCAGAUCGGAAACCUCUUCAGCUCUGAGUUUCACCUUGGAAGAAGGAUAACCAGGAGGAACUUCCAUCAACUCUUCUACAGUCAUUUCCCUUGUAACUUUCUUUGUCGGCAAAAGCGCGUGUGCGGCUGCAGUCACUGGGGGAUAGUAAAUGGACUUGAUGCCGAUUUGGUGCGCCAAGGCUGGAAUCCAAUACCCCAAAUCAUGGAAAACUAUAUCAGGCUUUAUAGCCCUUAGAAUGGCUUCAACUUGAUCUCGAGUUUGAUCAAACGCAAUAGCAAACAAGCUAUGCAGUGGUAGAGGAACAUCGGAUGUAGUUUGGGCGCCUGGCAGGAUACCAUCUACAUGGGAAACAACAAGAGGAAAGAACUGAAUAAGAUUUGGAUAUUGGUUAAGUUGUUCCAACUUUGGCUGUGCUCCUUUAGGCAAUAAGAAGGAGACCUCGUGACCUUUCUCAGCAAGCUUGUUUGAGAGGUGAAGGUAAGGGAUGAAAUGGCCAAAGGAAAACCAUGGAAACAUGGCUAAGUGAAGCUUGGAGGAGUUGGGGUUUCUCAUCUUUGCCUUGCAAACUGUGUUACUGUGACUGAGUUCAAAGUAAGUUAUAGAUAUCAACAGACAACAUUGUGUGGCAGACAAAACUACUACAAAUUUUGUCGACAUAGCCAAAAAGCAAGUCAUCAUAGUAAUUACCAUGGCAGCAUCCAAAUUUAUAUAAUACUUGAAUUAGACAUCCUUCAACAGCAGAAAAUGGGUAGAAUAAUCAUCAAAAACUUAAAAUUUUAUUUUAUUAAAUUAAUUAAAUAAGUAAAUAGUUAUAUUAACUUUACAUGAAAUAAUUUAAAUAACUACUUGCGUAUAAAAACUUAAAUAAGAUGCGGCUCUUUUCAAUGGUACAAAUGCCUUUAAUGAGAGGAUAUUUGGAAAUGAUCCCUUCAUAAAAAUCAUCCACUCAUACAAAGUCUUUGAUAAAUUAAAAGUCACUUAUGAUGGAACUUCGAUUAAACAUUUGGUUUAACGAUAAGUAUUGAGUUCAAUGCUUUUUAGAGCUUAAGAACUUGACUCAACAACAUUUAUGAAAAAAGGAUGCAAUGAAAAAAGGAUGCAGAUGCAUGGUCAUAAAUGUGUCACUAGAUACUGUGUAUUUAUUAGUGUUGAAAUCAUUGAAUGAGAUGUAUUCGAUUAAUUAAAUGGAAUGGUUGGUUCAAAGUAUAAUCUAUCAUGCAAUUUCGUUUAACUUCAAUAUGUUUUCACUUAAUAAAAGCUCAAUAAGAUGACAUGAGUUUCUAAUAAUUCGAUAUUCCAAAAAUUUUCAGCUUCAUUGUGUCGGACGUUUUCAACAAUAACAAAUGUGAGACAUAAUUUUUCAUUGGAAAAAUAAAAGAACGAAGAAACUUUAAAAAAAAGAUAAGGAGAACGGAUCUAUAACAAUUGGACUAAAAUGGGUUGAUGUUCAAGAUAGAUGAUGAAUAAACUUUUUAAGUCUUAAUUGGUUUUGAAAUUAAUUAAAUUAAUAAUAUUUAAUUAAUAUAUUAUAAUGACACUUGGUGUCAUGUGCUACAUAGAUUAAUCUCAUUAAUUAAAAAUUGUUAGACGAAUAUUAAGUUUUGUGAAGAACGUAUGCCAAAUCUGAGGCAUUAGCCACAGGGUCCAAGGAUGUAUAAAACAUGGGGUGCUUUACAUAAAAUGGUUAAUGGUGGCAGAAUCAACAGAGGAAGCACUCCCCAGAUGUCUUAUGACUAAUCUGUUUACUGUAACUAAGUUUAUGUUUUGUAGGGUAUCUUGUACAUGGACAUGCAGGUAUCUAACAGACAGUCAAUCAUUUAUUUGUUGGCUGUGUAAUUAUCAAACAAUUGUACAGACCCUCAUUAUGCACUCAUGCUGUAAUAUUAACUUUCAGCUAUAAUGUGCUUUUCCAUUAGUUUUUCAUUUUCAUUUUUAAAAUUUUUACCUGUAAUAGUGUGUUGAAUUUGUCACAUUUUUGGUUAUCUGCAGGAUCAGAGUGUUGUGUUUCAUUCAUUAUGUUGACUUAUAGCAACUUCAUGUGUGUUCAAAGUAAUUUACUAACAAGGUAAUUUGUGGGAUGCUUGACUUGACUCUUGAUCAUAUUCAGAUUUUACUGAUUUACUAUCAAGGUAAUUGUAUCACUCACCAAUUAUUUGACAACCCACUAACAUUAUUUUAGAAAAAAAAAGGAAAAAAACCCACUAACAUUAUUUAUAUAUUUUUGUCAUGGGGCCAGAAACAAUGAUUUCAUGCACUUUUGAUUUUGAGGGAUUUGGGUGAGUGCAUGAUAGAAAAAUGAGCAUUUGAUGGAGUAGAUAUAAUUUGUUUUCAUCCCCUACUGCUAUUCAAAUCAUUUAGACAUUAAUAAAUACAGAAAACUUUCUAAAGCCAAGACAUUAGAGGUUAAGAAUAUUGAAGGAAAUUAACAACGAACUUAUUGCAUUAUAUCAGAUUGGAAUCUGAUAGACAUUAAGAAAGCUAGGCACAAGCACCACUAAAACAGGUUUACUAUACUCGGACUCUAAAUUAUAUUCUUCUACUUCUUUUGCAAUUUGGAUCUUAUUUGACCAGAUCUUGCAGACCUUUGAUGAAGUUAUUGAUAUAUUCUUCUUGAAGAUCCCUGUUAGAAAGAAUGUUCUUGAGCUUGGCAUGGUUCUCUUCAACAGACUAGCUAUUUCAUUGUCCUUGUCCAUCACCAACUUGAUGGCUUUGCUCAAGUUCUCCUUGGAAAUCUCCCUGUUUUCUCCUUUCUCAACUUCAGCUGCAACCUCGAGUUCCUCUACCAUUAAUCUGGUGUUCAGAAUUUGAUCUCCUAAGCGGGGAAUCAACACAAUUUGGCAAUCAUUGAGCAAAGGUUCCCACAUGGUUCCACAACCACAGUGAUUCACAAAACACCCAAUAGAUGGAUGGCUGAGUAACUGUGAAAGAAAAUCAAAGAGUUUCUAAACUCUGUGAGUUAACUAAUUAAACAAAAACAGUGAGUUAAUGAAAGCCAACACAUGUGAGAUAGGAGAAGAAUUGCAUGAAGCCAUGCAAAGCCACACCAACCUUUACAUUAAAAUAUAUAUAUAGUUACAAGAAAGAGAGAGAGAAAGCCAUAAUAUAUUAAAUGAUGGGAGAUAAUUGAUCAUUCUUUCAAAACAUUAGUAACCUAUUACUUAGCGGCCUACAAAGCCAACUACCCACUACGAAACAUCACACAAACUGAAAAAUUGAUAAAGGAACUAACACUUAUAAUAAUAAAAUAGCAGAAACUUAAAUGAAUUACGUGGUCAAGGCACAUGAUUUCUUCUUCUCCAUGCUGCAACAACUCUUGGACACGACUAACUUCAGAAAUAUAUUCUUCUGGUCUUCAGGUCGAGGCUCACUCUUCAACACACCUCCUUGAGGCUGACUUGAAGAACUCCAAGUCUUUCACGUAGUAGCUCGAACUUGUUUUUACUUAGGUUCUUGGUGAGAAUAUCAGCUAACUGAUCACCGGUCCUACAAUGAUUAAGAAGGACAUCUCCAUUGUUGACAACUUCACGUAUAGCAUGGUAUUUCACCCGAAUGUGCUUUGUUCUUCCACGGUGUACUGGGUUUUUAGCCAUAGCUAUAGCAGACUGGUUGUCUAUUAGCAGUGGAGUGGCUUUAUGUUCCCUGAAACUCAAAUCAUCAAGAAUUUUUCUCAACCAUAAAACUUGAUUUGUAGCUGAUGCGGCUGAUAUAUAUUCAGCCUCAGUUGAAUAUUGAGCCACCACCUCCUGCUUUUUUGAGCUCCAAGAGAACACUGCACUUUCAAAUGAAACACAAAAACCACUUGUACUUCGAGAAUCCUCUAAACUCCCUACCCAAUCACUAUCACAAUGUCCAAGUAAAUCAUGGCUUUCUUUUUGGUAAAGCUUAAGGCCAACAUCUACCGUUCCUUUCACAUACCUCAGCACACGUUUAGCAGCUGAGUAAUGAUGUUCAGACGGAGAUUGCAUAUACUUGGAUAGCAUACUAAUGGCAUACAUAAUAUCGGGUCUAAAGGCUGAGAGAUACAAUAAGCUUCCUAUUAAGCUUCUGUAGGUAGAACUACAAGCUUCAGGUGCACCAUCGUUCUUACAAAGUUUCAUUCUAGUGGCUAAUGGUGUUGCAACAGUGUCGUAACGUGCGGGUCCGGGAACCCGAUCGCUAGAAGUGAAUGUGAAAACUCACUAAAAAUUAAACUAGGAGUCGCCACCAAUCUUUUUUUACUAGGUGCGAUUGGCCACCUAUUGACUCGAUUCUAAUCGAUGAAAACUUAAAUUAAUUUUAAGCCCACCGAAAAGAACCUUAAACUGGUCUACAAUUUUCUGGAUCUAGGUUCGGGAGUACGGUUACGCCCGGGGAAGAAUUAGCACCCCUCGGACGCCCGUUCCAUGAACGGUACCAUUUUUAGAUUAUCCUAUUGGGCUUUAAUUUUUAAUUUCACUAAAUUUCCUUAAUUAUUAUUUUUUAUUUUAUCUCCUAUUUAACCUAAAAAGGAAUGCAAAUAGGUGGUGAGAUGAAAUGCAUGACAUGAGAUAAAAAUGCCGGACAAAUAACCUUUUAUCGAGAAUAUUUUUCGAAUCCGCCCAUCAUACUGGUGGGACUCGGGAUAUUCUCUCACCUAGGGAAUUAUCCGAGAAACUCGCCUUCGUAAAUUUGACGAAUAAUUCCCGUCUUCGGGGUCAUCGUACGUUUUCUUUUUAAAAUAAUAUUUUGUGCAUAAUGAACCUAAUUCGAGCAAAAGCCUUUUAUUAAAUAUGGUUCUCGAGCCCUCCCAUCACACUGGUGGGACCCGAGGACAUCUUUUCACCUAAGGAACUUUUCGAGAAAUACCCGCCUUCGCAGGAUCCUCGAAAGAUCCCAUCAUCGGGGCUUAGACUCGAAAACAGAAAUAUUUAUGUGCAAUGAUAUAUAUGAUGCAAUACAUAUAUGCUAUGCUGAUGCAAUUAUCUAUAUUUUUUUGUUAUUAUUAAUUAUUUUUAUUUUAAUAUAUAUUUUAUUAUCAUACUAUUUUUAUGUAUUUUUAUAUUUUAUUAUUAUUUUAUUUUUCAUAAGCGAUUUUUAUUCAAACCUAAUGCCUAAGAUCUUAUUUUAUGUAUAUAUAUUUAUUAUUUUUUUUAUCUUUAUCUUUACAUUUCUUAUAGUUUAUGCCACUUAAUACUCAAUGCUUAAUUUUAAAUUAGUUAUUUUUUUAUAUUAUUAUUUAUUUAUUUAUUUAUUUAAUGUCAUGUAUAUUGUAUUUUCACAAAUUAAUUAUUUAUUAUAUGUUUGAAUUAUUAUUAUUUUAUCCUUAUCUUAUUACUUAUUAUUUAUUUUUAUCAAGUAAUUUUAUCAAGUAAUUUUUUUAUAUAAUCAAGCUCUUUAUUUAUUAAGGAUUUCGGAAUCUUGAAAUCGAGGCCCUCCCAUCGUACUGGUGGAGCCUUGGUUCGGAUUUCGAGCCUAGGGANNNNNNNNNNNNNNNNNNNNNNNNNNNNNNNNNNNNNNNNNNNNNNNNNNNNNNNNNNNNNNNNNNNNNNNNNNNNNNNNNNNNNNNNNNNNNNNNNNNNNNNNNNNNNNNNNNNNNNNNNNNNNNNNNNNNNNNNNNNNNNNNNNNNNNNNNNNNNNNNNNNNNNNNNNNNNNNNNNNNNNNNNNNNNNNNNNNNNNNNNNNNNNNNNNNNNNNNNNNNNNNNNNNNNNNNNNNNUAUAUAUAUAUAUAUAUUUUAAGUCAAACUUAGCACCACAAAAUCAAGCCAAUAUAUCUAUAAUAAAAAUGAAAAAUUUACCUUGUUAUGAAUAGCCACUCCCUCCAACACCGAAACAGUGUCGUUUUGUAAUCAAAAGGGGUUUUGGGUGAGUCAAAACGGUGCCAUUUUUAACCUUUGGCCCCUCCCUCUUUCUUCACUCACCAUUCCUCUCCCUUUCUCCUUCUCGCCCGAUCCUCACUGUCGCUGGCACUGCGUCAUCUCCAGAUCUGGUGCCGCGCCAGCCGUCGCUCCUCUCUCUCUGGUGCCGCGCCAGCCGCCGCUCCUCUCUCUCUUCCUCCGUUCGGUGCUCCUUCCCCUCGCGCCAGAUCUUCACUGUUGCUGCUCCCUUUCUCUCUGGUGCCGCGCCAGCCGCCGCUCCUCUCUCUAUUCCUCCGCUCAGCUCUUCCUUCCCUCGCGCCAGCCGCCGCUCCUCUCUCUUUUCCUCCGUUCGGCGCUCCUUCCCCUCGCGCCAGAUCUUCACUGUUGCUGCUCCCUUUCCUUUCCUCCUCCGAUUUCUUUUGUGGAUUUUUUGGUGUGGCUGCUGCUAUUUUUUCCUGUUGCAGGUUCUCUGUUUUUUGUUCUCUCUUUUUUUGGCUCCUUGGUUGCUUUCCAUUGCUUAGAAAGCUGGUAGUUUUUUUGUUGCAGGUUUUUUUUCCAAAUGCUACAGUGUCCCCUCUCCUUUAUACCCGAUUCCCGGGUUCUGGAGGGGACACGCCCAUUGCCUUGUCCCUGGGCACCCAGGGGCAAGUUCCACUAUCCUGCCAGACGCGAAUUUUUCGCGUCUGGCAAGGUGAGAGAGGUGCCUGGCAGGGUGCGUCCGCACCCUGCCAGUCGUACCUCUCUCCCUUUUUUUUCAUCAUUUUUUGUUCAUUAUAUUUUUAAUUUAGUGUCUACAAACAGCCUUGCAUCCCUACAUAUGAAAUCUUUUCAAAAGUUCCUUAGCAUAUUUCCUUUGAUGAAUACAGAUAUAAUCAGGUCCUUGCACAAAUUUUAACUCCAAAAAAUAAGUCAUCUUGCCUAAGCCGAUCAUAUCGAAUUCUUCCAUCACUUGAGUUUUAAACUGGGAAAGCACUUCAUCAUCGGGACUCGUAACUAGCAAGUCAUCCACAUAAAUGACACUAUCAGUUGCACACCAGUAGAAGAACUUUUCACAUAUAAAGUGUGCUCAUUUGAGCUUCUGUUAAAACCUUAACCAGUUAAGUAGCCAUCAAUCCUUUAGAACCAGGCUCGUGGAGCUUGUUUAAGGCCAUACAAGGCCUUUAUCAGUUGGCAAACCUUGCUUUGAGUGCCUGGUUCUACAUAUCCUUCAGGCCGUUCUAUAUAAAUCUCUUUCGAAAGCAUGCCGUUAAGAAAUGUUGACUUCACGUCAAGAUGCCAAAUGCCCCAGUUUUCUUUGACAGCCAAUGCUACCAACAAUCGUAUGGUGUUGUGUCGAGCAACUGGAGCAAAGGUCUCCAUAUAAUCGAUUCCAUACACUUGGGAAUAACCUUUCACCACAAGCUUUGCCUUGUAUUUAUUUACUGAGCCAUUCGGAUUUAAUUUUGUUUUAUAAAUCCACUUUACACCAAUGACAUUUUGAGCUUCUGAUCGAUCCACCAGAGUCCAUGUCUUAUUUUCCUUGAUCAUUUCCAUCUUCACAUUCAUGGCUUGCACCUAUUUUUCAUCUUUUUCUGCUUCAUGGUAUGUGCUUGGCUCAACGAUGGCUAUGUUGCUACGUUCAUAAAUCUCCUGCAAGGUUCUUGUACCUCUUACAGCUAAGCUUUCGUCUUCUAUCUGCUCUUUUUCACUCGAAAAAAUAUCACCAACCAGAUUAGGAUUCCAUGAUUGUUUAACAUCACUCUUGUCCUAACUCCACUUGAGUCUCUCAUCAAAUCUAAUGUCCCGACUAACAAAUAUUUUCUUGAUCUCAAUAUUGUACAGCCGGUAUCCUGUAGACACUUCACUGAAUCCCAAGUGAAUUGCAAUAUGUGAUUUUGGGUCUAGUUUGCUUUUCUUCUCAUUGGCUAUCUUGGCAUAUCACACACAUCCAAAUACUUUCAAACGGACAAUAGAAGGCUUCAACCUACGCCAUGCUUCAUAAGGGCUUUGAGAAGUCAAUGCUUUUGUAGGCAAGAUAGUAAUCAAAUACAUUGAUGCAUUAGUUGCCUCUGCCCAAAAACUUUUAGGCAAACCUUUUUCAUACAGCAAGCAUCUAGCCAUUCCAAUUAGAGUUCUAUUUUUUCUUUCACAGACUUCAUUUUGUUGAGGGCUGUAUGUUACGGUUAAUUGAUGUUUCACUCCAUUUCUGCCCAAGAAAUUUUCAAACUCAUCUGAUGUAAACUCUAUUCCAUUGUUAGUUCUAAGAAUUUUUAAAGAGCAACUAGAUUUUUUCUCCACUAAAGCUUUGAAUUUGACAAAUUUACCAUAGACCUCAGAUUUCCUUUUAAGAAAAAAAAAAUCCACUUAUACCUAGUGAAAUCAUCAAUAGAAAGCAAGUAAUAAAAACUGCCAUUAAGUGAAGCUACCUUUAUUGGACCUCUCAUUUCAAAAUGAACUAGCUGUAGUUUAUUACUAGUUUUUGAGUUGUUAAUAUUUGGAAAAAGGAGCUCUGCUUUGCUUUCUCAAUUGACAAGCUUCACAUAUUUUAUCUGGUUGACUAACCCUUAGAAGACCAUCAACUAAAUUGGUUGAGUACAUAUGCUUGAGUGAACCAUAGUUCACGUGGCCAAGUCUUUUGUGCCAGAGUUCAUUGUCGGAAGCUAAGCAUUGAUAUGCUUCAUGAUCCAUCUUUUUGAAGUUGAUAAGAAACAUUUGUUUCUCAUACCAAUAGUUAAGAUUUCUUUUCCUGUUAGAUCAAAUAUUAUGCAGGAUCUGUCAUUAAACCAUAUGAAAUAGUCAUUUUCUAAUAACCAACCAACACUAAGCAGAAUAUGACUUACAUCAGGUGAAAAGAAAACAUUAGAAAUUGUUUUCAUACCUAUUGGUGUAUCAACUCCUACCUUUCCUAUUCCAAAAAAUCUUCAAGUAUUUUCCAUUUCUAAUCUCCAUUUGAGUCUUGAAGUUUCUGUUCAAGGUAAGGAAGGUUUCGUCAUUCCCAAUGAUGUGGUUUGAACAACCAUUGUCAAUCAGCCAAUUGUCCUUUCUUUUCUAAAUGUCAAGAUUCCUAGCCAUGAAUAAACUUCUUCUUCAACAAUGGCAGCUUUCUCUUCUGAUUUGUUCCAUUUUACUUUGCAGACUGUCUCGACAUGCCCCAUCUGAUUACAUGACCUACACUUCACGUUUGGCUGAACUAGCAGAACCUCUCAGAAUGGAUCUUCUUUUUACAGUAUGAGCAAGGUGAAAAUGUACUUUUUUGUUUCCUUUAGUUUCCAUCACUGGGUCUUCUAUCCCGUUCCUUUUCUCUUGGUCUUGUUUCUUAAUGUUGGAGUUCUUAUCUCUGUUUUUGGCCAUGAAAGCCCUUUCUACAUUAUCUUCAUGUCUUAUCCCUUUCUUGGCUCUUGGGCCUGUAAGGCGUUUACAAGCUUGAUCACAUUAAGCUGUGACAGAUCCUUGGAGUCUUUUAGAGAGGAAAUCUUGGCUUCAAAUUUCUCUGAAAAGCUCACAAGAACCUUGUUGACUAUCUUUCGUUCAAUCAUGUCUUCUUUGAGCAACCUUAGCUGGUUCACCAGCUUCAUGAUUUUGUUGGAAUACUUCUUGAUGUUUUCAUCUUCUUUCAUUCUUAGGAUUUCGAACUCUCUGUGCAGAUUUAAAGCCUACAUUUGUCAAGUCUUCUCACUUGCAUAGAACUCUUCUUUCAAAUGAUCUUAAGCUUUUUUGGGAUUUUUGCAAGUCAUAAUCCUGGUGAAGAUUGAAUUAGACAAUGCAUAGUGAAUGCAAGAGAGUGUUUUAUACCUCUUUGCAACGUGUUCAUUGUGUUGUUUAAUCUGAGUAAUUGUUGGGUUCAUAUGCCUCAUAACUAGAGUGUCACCUCCCACCUCCAUAAGCUCCCAUAAAUCAAAGGCACCAAGAUAUGCCUUCAUUUUCAUAGUCAUAUGGCAUAAUUCUCACCUGAGAAAGUUGGAGGUGUUGCUGCACUGAAGUUCUGGAAGCCAUAACAAUUAAUUUUUUGAAUAAUUUCACAAAAAAGGUCCCUUAAGAUAUUUAAGGCUCUAAUACUAUGUGAAAGAAAACCAAAGAGUUUACAAACUCAGUGAGUUAACUCGUUAAACAAAAAUAGCGAGUUAAUGAAAGCCAACACGCGUGAGAUAGAAGAAGAAUUACAUGAAGCCAUGCAAAGCUACACCAACCUUUUCAUUAAACAAAUAUAUAUAUAUAUAUAUAUAUAACUAUAUAUAUAUAUAUAUGUAUAGUUCAAGAGAGAGAAAGUCAUAAAAUAUUAAAUGAUGGGAGAUAACUGGUCACUUUUUCAGAACACUAGUAACUUAUUACUUAAUGGCCUACAAAGCCAACUACCCACUAAGAAACAUCGCACAAACUGAAAAACCGAUAAAGGAACUAACACUUAUAAAAUAGCAUAAACUUAAAUGAAUCACGUGGUCGAGGCAUGUGAUUUCUUCUUCUCCAUGCCGCAACAGCUUUUUGGCGUGACUAACUUCAAAUAUAUAUUCUUCUGGUCUUCAAGUUAAGGCUCACUCUUCAGCAGUAACAAUUGCUGGGAAACCCAAGCACCAUACACCAACCUUCUUCCUUGGAUCCUUUUUUGAAACCCCUUAGGCAAUGCCUCUUUAAUCCUUGUGCAUCCGCAUGGUGGUGUUAAAGCCACCAAGAAAGGUUGCCCUGAUAACUCCAACCCAAGAAGUAACUCUUGAAACUCCUUAUUUAGCAAUGUAAUCUGACUUCUGAAUGCACGAAGCACCACAAAGCUUGGCUCAAAGUUGCUUAGCCAAUUAGCCCAUUUGUCUUCAAGUUGUGUGGCAUUUGUUUUAGGGAGGUGAUGCCCUGUUAGCAUAACAGGCUUGCCAAAAUGUUGAGCAAUAUAGUCACAAAAAAGCUCCCUUAAUUUGAUGGUAAGUCCUACAGGCUAUGACAUCAUUGCCUUUUAUGGCAGUUGUUAUCCAAUUCAAUUUUUUACCCACGUAAGUGUACGUAUCGCAAAGAUAAUAUAGAGAUGAGUAGAGUGUCAAUUCCACAGAGAAUUGAAUUAAUCCUUAUUCUUAACUACUAAAAUUAACACACUUUAAUUUUAUCUAAACAAUUAAAAUUAAAAAGGAAAAUUUAAAUUAAUAAACUAAAAACUAUAACUGAAACUAAUCUAAAAUCUGUUAAAAAAUUUACUUUAUUAAAUUUGAGUGACUACCAGACCUAGGAUUAUAAUAUCCCUCAAUACUUCAUUUGAAUAUUGUCUCUCUUUCUUAACUUAGUUUAAUGGAUUAAGUUGCUAACGUAGAGUUCUAAAUUAUUUACAAGUCUCUAUCGAGUUUCUCAUAAAAAUACCUCCCUUAAUUAAUUUACUAUAUGUCUAUGCAAAUUAUAUUGAAGAAAGAUUCAUUAAGUUUGUGCUCUAAUUUUGGCUACGUAUGGCUUAUAGGUGUAUGUCUACCCUAUAUGCAAAUCAAAUCACCUAAUCAACUAAGUGUAUUUAAUCAUACACUAUUCUAUUCAAGGUCUACCUAAAUCUCAUUAGUCAAGGUUUAACCUAGGUUUUCAAUUCAAUCUAAUUGGUGGCCAGUCAACUAGAAGCAUUAAGAACAAAAUAAAAUAAACAACUUAAAUUUAUCAAACAUAAGUAAAAGAGAGAUAAAUAAUUCAGACUUCAUAUUGAGUUCAAUCAUAAUAUUAGAUUAAUGAAUUAGUUCCCCAUCAAGUCACAUAUUAUCGUUGAAUAAAGUUUAAACAUUAAGAGCAAAACUAAGAAAAUAAGAGAAUAAAAGAAAAGAUAGAAAAACUCAAGAGUUGUAUUCUUGAUCUUCAAAUCUCCUUAAAUCUUUCAAAUUUUUCUUAGCUUCAAUGACUCUAUGGCUUGACUCUUAGCUGUUAAUUUGGUGUUUUUUUUCCCUUUUUUAACUAUUUUGAAAGGUUGUUUUUAUAGACUUUGAAGUUGGGUCAAGUUGGGUGGAGAAAGAAGUCAAUUUUAGCUAGAAUUUCCUCACCAAACUAUGUGAGUCGCAGCCUUGCCUAAUUAAUUAACAAAAAUCGUAUUGCUCUAGGAUUGUUGCAGUGCAUCAAUUUCAAUAAUAUUUUAAACCAUUUUUUAGGCCGAACUGGGUAAAGUGGUCAACAUAAAAGUUGUAGUUUUUUAUCUUAUCUUUCCAAUGCUCCAAGAAUUGCUUCAUUUGAAGCUCUUUAGAGAAAGUUAUGGCUAAGAUACUAAAACAUAUGCAUUAGAAGUCUGCAUCUUGAAAUUGCUCUCAUUCUUCCAUUAAAAUUCUUCUUUCAUCAAACACCUACAAAAGCACAAAUAAAUCAAUAACAACCUACCUUAACCAUAUUAACACCAAAUUAAGCAUAAAAUUAACUAAAAUUAGAAUAACUCACCUAAAAUAACUAAUUUAAAAUAAUUAAAUAGAACCUACUAAUUUCUAUGCAUUACUACAAGCACUAAGCUAAAUUACUAUCAAAAUUAAGCUCAAAUAACUCUAUAUCAUAGAGUUAUCAGCAGAAUUGUUACAAUAGCAACUUUUUCAGCUUUUAAUCUUACCUUGGAAGAAGGACAACCAGAAGGAACUUUUAUUAGCUCUUCCACAAUCAUUUCCUUCGUAACUUUUUUCAUGACAUGCGUAUUUGCAGCUGUAGACACCACGGCAUAGUGUAUGGACUUGCUAUCGGUUUGGUGAGCUAAGGUUUGAAUACAAUGCCCCAAAUCAUAAAAAACCAUAUAAGGCUUUAUAGCCCUUAAAAUGGCUUCAACUUGAUCUCGAGUUUGAUCAAAUGCAAUAGCAAGCAAGCUACUUAGCGGUUGAGGAACAUUGGACAUAGUUUCGGCGCUUGGGGGGAUACCAUAUACAUGCGGAACAACAAAAGGAAAGAAUUGAAUAAGAUUCGGAUAGUGGUUAAGUUGUUCCAACUUUGGCUGUGCUUCUUUAGGCAAUAAGAAGGAAACUUGGAGGCCUUUCUUAACAAGCUUGCUUGAGAGGUGAAGAUAAAGGAUGAAAUGGCCAAAGGCAAACCAAGGAAACGUGGCUACUUGAAGCUUGGAGGAGUUGGAGUUUCUCAUCUUUGUUUGAAAUUCUGCCUAGAAAUCAAGGAAGAAAGAAAGAAGAUGUAUGUGUCUAUCAUCCAAAUUAUUUAAAACCCUCAUUCACAUCAAUAAACAGUGGUGGUAUGGAUAUCAAUAAUUGAGCUAAGAUUUACAGUUCAAAGGCAAUUGUAUGGAUACAAUGGAUUUUUCCCUUUUUUUUUUGACGUCAAAGAAUUAAAUAAGUCUCUAAACCAUUUAGAAAAAUUUAAAUAAAGUUUUACAUUUAAUCAAAUCUUUGUACUUUUGUUUUGAAACCAAAUAAAUUUUUAUAUUUUUAUUUUGAGUCAAAUAAACCUUUAUACUAAUAAUUUACUUAAUCAAAAUGUUAUUUGUCAUAAUGUGACACUAACGUGAAAUACUAGCGUUUCAUAAUUAAUGAUGAUAUGGCAUAUUGAUGUAUCAUAAUUGAUGAUGAUGUGACAUAUUAAUUUGAAAUUAUAAUUUGACUAUAUUACAUUUUUCACUCUCCAUAUUAACGCCAUGUCAGUGUCAUAUGGAUAUAAAAUGAUAAUUAGUAUUUAAACUAAUGAUAAUUAGUCAAUCAUUAGUUAUAAGAACUUAUUUGAUCCAAAAUAAAAAUAUAAGGAUUUGAUUGAACACAAUAAAAAAAUAAAGACUUAUUUGAAUUUUCUUAAAUAGUUUAGGUACUUUUUUGAGCAUUAUGUCAAAAAAAAAAAUUGAAUGGAUAGUUUACAUCUAGUUCUUUAUCAGAUAUAAUUCUAAUGUUUUCUUGUUUAAUUUUUUGAACAUGUAUAUAUGUUUAUCAUAAAAUCAAACGUGUUAAAGUACUUUUAAUUUCAUGAUUAAUUAAAAGAAAUAUAAAUAAAUCGAGAUGAAAUCGUCAAGUUUAUGGGGUUUUCAUCUUGUUAAAAGUGGCAAGGUUAAUUGUUUUCGAGGAUAACUGUUUUUUUCUUAAAUGACAUUGUAGCUUAAUUGAUAUAUGAUGCAUUGCUCCAUAAAAAUUGAGUUACCUUAACGAUAAGUUUGUCAAAUAGGAAAUUUAUUUCACAAACAAAACUAGAAUCCUUGCAAUUCUACAUGACUGCAUGCAUGCUGACAGAAAGCCUACAACUUAAGAUUAUCAUAUGAAUGCAGCUUUGCUUUGUUCAGUUUGAAUUUAUUUAGAAUAUUAUAGACCCAAAAAUCUAGAAUAUAAUUGCUGCUCAUCUUUUUGUCUUUUGGAAUUGUUUGAAGAUGACAAUAUGUACAACCAUGAUACUAAUAUAUAUAUAAAGGAGGGAUUGGUGUUUAGUUUUAUGUCUUUUUAUUAUUUCCUGUAUAAUUAAUGUUUAGUAAAUUAUAUUUUUAUUUAAUAACUUACUUAUACUCGAAUGUAGAGUUUCUCCAAAUCAAUUCGAUAUUCAUAUUAUAUUAAUUUAAAAUAUUCUCUUUUUUAAUAUAUAUUCAACGGUCGAAAUUUUGUUGUAUCAAAUAAAUAGUUAAACAUUUUUAAUUGUUUAAAAUUUGACAUGCAUGAUUCUUGUGAAUAGAUCAUGAAAAUCCAACGGUUGGAUUAAUGAAAUACAAAUAAAUUUUACACUAAUGUAAGUAAAUCCCUUGUCUCGUCUAUCUCUCUAUAUAUUUAUACUUAUAUAGUAAUAUAUAAGAAAGCAUAUGAACCCUAAAGGUGUAAAUAGUUAACCACAUAUACGCUCUUAAUAAUUUAUUAAAUUAAUUUUUUACCCUAAAUUAAUAAUUUUAUUUUUAAAUUAAAAUAUUGAUAUAAAAAUAUUUUACAUAUGAAAUAAGUUUUUAUCCUUCCAAAGCACACUUAAGUGAUAAAAAUAUUUUUUGAAAAGAUUCUACUCUGUUCCAAACGUAGCCCAAAUAAAUAUCAUUUUCCAUACUCAUAAAGUAAAUCUUCGAUUUGAAUUUUUUUUCCCUUUUAUAUCUUACUCUAAAGGGUAAUUCUUUUUAAUCCCGAAAUUUAUAGGGAUUUUUUCCCCUGUUGUUUUGACUAUGUUUUUCCAAAUCAAGCCAACUUCUUAAUAUUCAUACAUGUUCUUGAUUAAUACAUCUGUGUUCCCCGAGGUAAAUAAAUGAAACAAAUACUAUUACCUUUUAUAUUUAGACGGCUUUUAAUUAUUCUAUGGGUUUGGCAUGUUUACGUGUUAGACAUCCAAGUCCACUUGUGGUCCGACUCUUACUGUCAAUGUUGCAGCCGCUCCUCCAUUGAAUAUCGAGGAACUGAGGGAAUUGAAGACAAAAGUCACGACUAUAAGGGAUGAGAUGUGGAAUAUGAAGUCAUAUCAAGUGUUGCGCAGAUCCUCUAAUAUGUGUAGCCGGCAGCCAAUUUCGAGACUUCAUCAUAGCAGUCGGGCCCUUUUAAUAAUAACGAGGCACGACUGAGAGAUAACAACACUAGUUAGAUUGUAGGUUUAUUUAUUUAUAUAUUUUUUAUUGUUUGUAAUAUCGAAUAAUUUGUAAUUUUUUAUUUAUUUUUAUAAAAAUCAAUUUUUUUUUAUAAAUAUUAGUAUUUUUUAAUAUUAUUAUUUAUUUGUAUUUGUGUUAUUCAUUUAGAAUGACAACAAGAAUGAGCAAAACCAAUCAAUUUCAAUGUUCUUAGAAAAAAAUGGUUUCAUAUAGAUUCCACUUUAUUACUAAUGGAAUUACCAAUUGACAUAGCAGUUUACCGAUGGAAUUAUGUACGACGUUAAUGACAGAAUAAACUUCAUCACCAACAGAAAUAAAGAUAUUAUCGAUGAAAACUACAUACAUUCAAACUACUGAGUUUCGUAAGCACUUUCGUGAAAAAUUUUAUCGAUAAAUUACAGACAAAAUUUGCUAACGAAAUCCAAUCAAUAUAGACCAAUCAUCCCUCCGAUGGAUUGGAUGCUUUGCUGAUUGAGUUUUCGAUAGAAUAUUUUGUCAACAAUUUUUUGACGAAAUAUUCAAGUCUUGAUGGCAUGCCCUUUACCGGUGGUGAUAUUUUCCACGGAUUGUGAACUUUUAUCGAUUGAAAUUUUCAUCGAUAAAAGUGUUAAAUUUGGUAAUGGACUAACUAUCGUUAGUUAAAAUGUCGUUUAUUAUUUUUUGCCAUAUGAUGCUAACAUGACAUAUUAACAUAUCAUAAUAGAUGGUGACAUGACAUGUUGAAAUGACAUAAUGACAUAGUUACGUGGUAUUUUUCAUGCUUCGAGCCAAUGCCACAUGAGUAUAAAAAUUACAAAAUGACAUUUUGAUUAAUCACAGUUAGUCAAUCUUUAAUCAUAAAGGUCUAUUUAAAUUAAAAUAAAAGUACAAAAAUUUAAUUUAACAUAAUAAAAAAAUAAAUAUUUAUUUAAAAUUUUUUAAUAACUUAAGAUUUAUUGCAAUUUGGGUUUAGGUCUAUAUUAGUUUAUAGAUGGGUAACAAUUUAUUGCAAUUUGCAAGAGAAAUUUUUCAUUGCAAUUUAAUUUGAGGGAUUCUUAACUGUUAGUCAUAUUUAGAUUUUAUUAUCAAGGAAAAUUUAUAACGUACAAAUUAUUUGAGAAACCACUAACAUUGUUUAUUUAUUUAUUGUAUGGAGCAAUUAACAAUGAAUUCAUGCACUUUUGGACUUUUGAGGGAUUGGGUGAGGAGAGAUGCAUAAAAGAAAAUGAGAAUAUGAUGGAGUAGAUAUAAUUUGUUUUUUUGUAAUACCCUAACUCAAAAAUACGAUUACAUUAGUAUGCUUACAAAAUCCUAAAUUUGAUAAAUAGGUUUUAUUAAAAUUACUUAUAAAAUAUUUGAGCAUAUAAUAUAAUGGUUGGAUAUUAAGGACCUUUUAGCAAAUAGAGUGGUUUUAUUUUAAUUGGAGUCAGAUAAUAUUAUCGCGUUAGAAAAAAACGGUCAGUUAUAUCUUAUCACAUUUUUUUAAAAAGAAUCAGUUAGUUUUAUCUAAGUUAAUUUUAAAAAGGAAAAGCAAUAAGACACGUUUAAAGGAAAACAGGUAAUGUCAGUUUAUUUUGUCACAUAUGAGUAAGUUAAGGUCAGUUUUCAUUAGCAUGUUUAAAGAAAAAAUACAGUAAAAAAAAAAACCAUUUGGGAGAAACUAAUCCCAGAGAAAAAGAAGGUAGAAAAAGGAUAGAUCUAUUCAAGAAAGCAGUGAUGAAGGUAUGAUUAGUCUUUAACUUUAGUUUAUGUUUCUUUAACUCUCGUUCAAAUCCAGUAUUGUUUCGGUGACUUUCCGAUGGCAUGAUGGGUACCAAUGGAAAAGUCUUGAAAAGAUCUUUCCAAUGGUUUGUGUAGCAUCUCAUUUGACUUUAUGAUUAGAAAGAUACGAAUUUUUGAAGUUGAUUGGAAAUAUGAUUUUAACAGUUUUAACGACCCAAAUUUUGGGUCAAUGGAACUUCAUAUUCUAGUAACAUUUUGGGUUGUUUCUUUGAGGGCUUCGUAGUAUGAAAUGAGAUGUUUAAUUUGGCAUCAAUGGCUUGGUUAGGGGCUUCAUAUGUUAGGAGAAUUAAAGCCUCAAAGUAGGUUUGUUGAAACUGAAAAACCUCUGAAAAAGUUUGUGAUAAUUUCUAAAUUUUUGGCUUUUGAAACUUGAGAAUCUUGUAUUCUUUUUAAUCGAAACAAAUUUUGGUGUUAUAGUAUGAUAUGAAUACUUCAAAUUGGCAUUAAUUUCAUCACUGGAAAUAAUUCGGGUUAAGAGUUAUAAGUAGUUGAAAUAAGCUAAAUGGUCAUGAAAAUAUGAAAUUUCAGAAUUUAUGAGAAUUCAUUUUUAAUUAUUUCAAAAAUUAUUCUUCACCUAUAUUCGACCUAUUUUGAUAGAAACUUUAGAAAUUUAAGCUAUUUGAAUUUUAGUGAAUUUUUUUAUUAAUAAAUAUUUAUCUGAUAAAUUAACUUGAAUUGACAUGUUUUGAAAAUAUUUAUUAGAAAUUAUCAGAUCUGAUUUUGGAUUUGUAUUUAAGAUAUUUUCACCCAAUCUCAUAUUGUUAUUGAUUUUGUACUAUUAUCUAUGAGAUUCUAAGUUUUGAAUGGUUUAUGUAUUUAUAAAUUAUUAAAAGAAUUAAAAUUUAUUUUCAGUCAGCGAAAGAGGUGCUACACCCUAAAUGCCUUAGAAUGACCACCAGAGAGUCAUGGUUCGUUUUGAUAAGUUAGCAAUGUUGGUUUCUAAUUUUGAGUAUUUUGAAUUAAUCGGAUUCAAGAAGAUUUUAAUUUUUUAUCUUUUGAUUUUAGUUUUAGCGAACCAGGUAAGUGAUUGAUAUCCAUUCAGUGUUUUCACACCUUAAAAUUUGCCUCAAUGUGAUUUUCAUACUUGUAUAUGAUAUUUUAUCAUAUGGUUUGUUAAAUUGGGUGAGCAUGCUAAUAUAUGUAAGUAAAUAUGAUUUUUAUGCUGAUUUUUGGAAUAUGAUUUUGAUUUUUGUUCUGGAACGUGAGUUUUAUCAUUGUUUGCAUAUAUGACUAUUUUUGUGAAUAUUUAAUUUGAAACGAUUAUGUUUUUGAUAUGCAUGAGAUAUGGUUUGAGAAAGUGGAUACAUUAUUUUGUGAAAUUAGGAUAAUCUAAAAAUAUAUAUUUAUGUUUUGUCCCCUAGUAUGGCUAUGUUAUGAUCCUACCAAUUAGGGUUAUAUGUUGGCCAUAUCGACAUGUAUUCUGUGAUUAGAGAUCCAUCUCCCAAUUACACCAUUAGUUACAGAAUAAUAGCUGUUCAGAGCAACCAAUUGCUGUUUUUGAUAUACUUAUGACCCAUGCCACUCGAGUUAACUAUGGUUUUGAUAUGAUUAUGACUCAUGCCAUUGAGGUUAAUUAUGGCCAUAGUAUGUUACAAGAGACUAAUAAAAAUUUAAAAUUAGUGUGAAAUUAUGUUUUGUUCUGUUAUUUGAAAGCUUCAAAAUUGUGUAAGCUAUGCUAUCUGAAGUGAAAUUAUGUUUACUUUUGUAAUUUAAAAAUGAAAUUUUGUGAUAUAUGUUUCUGAAUGAAAUUACCCAAAAUUUUGUUUUGACACUUAUAUAUGUAUUAGUAAUUUUGGCCUAAAUGUUUUGAGAAUACUUAACCCAGCAGAAGGAAUGUCCGUUGCUUGUUGAGUGGUUGUACUCAUUCCAUUAAUUCUCAUCAUUUUACAGAUUUCAACAUCUUUGCAUGUUUGGGAGUUAGACUUACUUGGCGAGAGUUUUGGUUAGCAAAAUCAACGUAUGCCUUUCGAUAAUUAUAAGUUUUGAUGUGAGUAAUCAGUUUUUAGUUUAUUAAGUAGAUGUUAGUUAGAUCAGAAAUUUGUAUCAUUUGGAGGAUAAUAUUUUAAUAUUAUAUUUUGAGACUUAAGGUUUUGUGAGGUGUAAAUUUUGAAUAGAUUGUGGAGAUAUUAUAUUGAUUAAGUAUGAUGUUGUUGCCUUGCAUGCUUAUAGGAUUUAUCUCAUUAGUAUGCGGAGUUUGUUAUGUUCUAAAACCUUCGAUUUAGAACGUGACAUUUUUCAUCCCCUACCACUAUUCAAUUCAUUUCGAGCCAAGACAUUAGAGGUUAAGAAUAUUGAAGGAAAUUUAAAAUGAACUUAUUGUAUUAUAUCAGAUUGGAAUCGGAUAGACAUUAAGAAAGCUAGGCAGAAAAACCAUUAAAACAGGUUCACUAAACUCGGAUUCUAAAUUGGAUUCUUCUUCUUUUGCAAUUUGGAUCUUAAUUAUUUGACCAGAUCUUGCAGACCUUUGAUGAUGUUAUUGAUAUACUCUUCUUGAAGAUCUCUGUUAGAAAGAAUGUUCUUGAGCUUGGCAUGGUUUCUCUUCAACAGACCAGAUAUUUCAUUGUCCUUGUCUAUCACCAACUUGAUGGCUUUGCUCAAGUUCUCCUUGGAAAUCUUGCUGUUUUCUCCUUUUUCAUCUUCGACAGCAACCUUGAGUUCCUCUACCAUUAAUCUGGUGUUCAGAAAUUGUUCUUUUAAGCGGGGAAUCAACACAAUUUGGCAGUCACUGUGCAAAGAUUCCCACAUGGUUCCCGCACCACAGUGAUUCACGAAGCACACAAUAGAUGGGUGACAGAGUCAUAGCUCUUGGGGAAACCAACCACCACUCAGCAACCCUCUUCCUUGAAUCCUUUCUUGAAACCCCUCAGGUAAUGCCUCUUCAACCCUUGUGCAUCCGUCUGGUGGUGUUAAAGCCACCAAGAAAGGUUGCCCUGAUAACUCAAGCCUAAGAACUAACUCUUGAAACUCCUCAUUUUGCAAUGUAAUCUGGCUUCCAAAUGCACAAAACACCCCAGAACUUGGCUUAAAGUUGCUUAGCCAAUUAGCCCAUUGGUCUUCAAGCUGUGUGGCAUUUGUUUCAGGGAGGCAAGGCUCGGUUAGCAUAACAGGCUUGCCAAAUGUUGAGCAACAUAGUCACAAAAAGGUCCCUCAAUUUCACGGUGAGCCCUAAAGGCUAUGACAUCACUGCCAUUCAUGCUAGUUAUUAUCCGGUCCUGAAAUGACAAUCCUAUUCCAAAGAUUUUUCGUGCAAUUGUCAGAACGGAAACCUCUUCAGCUUUGAGUUUCACCUUGGGAGAAGGAUAACUAGUAGGAACUUCUAUCAACUCUUCUAUAGUCAUUUCCUUUGUAACUUUCUUUGUCGACGAAUGCGCGUUUGCGGCUGCAGUCACCUCAGCAUAGUAAAUGGACUUGAUGUUGACUUGGUGCGUCAGGGCUGGAAUCCAAUACCCCAAAUCAUAGAAAACUAUAUCAGCUUUAUAGCCCUUAAAAUGGUUUCAACUUGAUCUCGAGUUUGAUCAAAUGCAAUAGCAAACAAGCUAUGUAGUGGUUCAGGAACAUCGGAUGUAGUUUGGGCGCUGGCAGGAUACCAUCUAUAUGUUGGGUGAGGGCUGAUCAUGCAUCAAAUACAAAUAAAACGUAGUAGAAAUAAAUUUAAAAUUAAAUUAUGCCUCACCUUCUUAAAAUCUCUUUGAUGCCAAAUUAAGUAAGAAUUAAAUUGAAAAUAAAAUAUAUAUGAUCAUAUCAAGUUUGCCUAAAUAAUAAAGGUUGAUGAAUCAUUUGUUAAAUCAUCAAAUUAGCCUUCAAAAAGCUCAACCACCUCAACCUGACUGUUGCAAACCAAAGCUGUCCAAAGAAUCUUUGUGUAGCCUUUAAUGGUGAUCCACACUAAUGAAUUAGAAAAUCUUCUUUAAAGAUUGGGAGUGCUAUGCCUUGAUAAUGUGCUAGCAAAGAUGAGUUUCAUAAACUCAUAAUCCACACAAAAUUGUGGGGCUGAACGCACAAAAGAAAUCAAGAACGCAAAGAACGACAAGACAAAAGGAAUUUCUAAUGUGUCGUUCUUUUUUUUUUCAACCGUUUUCUCUCAUUUUGUUUGGAGGCUAUAGCAAGGUAUUUAUACCUUGGAUUAAUUUUAAACCCUAAUUACAAAUCUAUUUUGUAACUACCAAUUAAUCCAAUAAUUUGAAUAAACAAUUUAAUUAAGUCCUUAAGAAGCCCAAUUAACUUAAUUAUUUAAUUUAAUCAAUUAGGCCCAAUAACUUAAUUAAACAAUUUAAUUAAUUAAGCCCAACAAUUUAAUUAAACAAUUUUAAUCAAUUAGGCCCAAUGACUUAAUUAAACAAAUUUAAUCAAUUAGGCCCAAUAACUUAAUUGUUUAAUUUAAUUAAUUAGGCCUAAUGACUUAAUUAAACAAUUUAAUUAAUUAGGCCCAAUGAUUUAAUUAAAUAAUUUAAUUAAUUACACACAACUUAAUUAAACAAUUCUAAUCAAGUGCUUGAGACGCUCAUAACUUCCAAUUUGAUUAAGUCCAAGUUAGUCACCUCUCUCAUUUUAUUUUCAGCAUUCAUUUUAGGUGUGUGACUCAUUAGGCUUCUAACAUGUUAGUAAUGAACUCAACAUAUAAUUCUUAAGUUAAACUUAAAAUUAGAUAAAUUUAAACUACUUUAAAUUUAUCAUUAAUCAAGUUAACUACUUAGAGUUCAUAGACCAAGAUUAGGAUCUAGCAAUCCAUCAUGGUUACCAAAAUGUUAGAAGAGUCAAGAUGGUUUGACUUAACUUUUCAGUGAUCAGCCUUUCAGUGUAAUUCAUUCCCUCAUCAUAUAUCUCAGAGAUGAUAAGAGCAUGGUGCAAUGUCUACUUUUAUUAAUCUCCAUAUUUGUUCUUAAAGUUUGAUCAUCAACUUUAUAAAGAGUUAUGAAACUCCUUUCAUAAUCUUCAAGUCGCCUUGGCUAAAGAUUUUAAUAAGCUAAUAUCAACCAAGAACAGUUAGGAUAUGUCCCUUGUAUCACUUGGGGUGAUGAUUCCUAUAUUGACCACUCAUGUUUCUUCACUUGCUACAUGUUAUACCUAAAAGCAUUUUGUUUUGACAUCAUUGGUUAGGCACUUGUAAGGAUGAAAUCAAAGCAUAGCACUCCACACAUAAGAUAACCUGGUGUCUCAAGUCUAGAGAGUAUUUACACAACUGACAUAUGAGAAGUAUUGCAUAGACACUUGAGUGAAUUACCAAAUGCACUUCUUAUGACGGGUCAUGUUCAAUGAACUUGCUCUCUUAGGCAAGCAUCUACAUUCUAGUUCCAAGUAUUUCUAUACUUCAACCUAUAAGAUCGGUUGCUUACUUCUCAAGUAAGGAAUAUAAAAUGUAUCAGUCUCUAGGUAUCAUUGAUGUCCAGUCCCAAUGAUACAUUGACCAGGAAUAUUUUGAGAUUACGCUUUGAUGCAUAAAGAUCUCAUAACUGGAACCCAUUACAGUUCCCUUGCAAUGCAUAUUAAUCUCAUGGACUUCAUCCAAUUAGACUUAUAAUUUUUUAUAGUUGAUGUCUUAUUGAUGAAGGAAAACUUUUAAUCAUUCAAUAUGAGUGAUGUUGUUGCAUGUUUGGAAUCAAGUUUUAACCAAUCUCAAUUAGCUGCAGGGUUCAUUCCAACACUACAUGGGAAACAACAAGAGGAAAGAACUGAAUAAGAUUUGGAUAUUGGUUAAAUUGUUCUAACUUUGGCUGUGCUUCUUUAGGCAAUAAGAAGGAGAACUUGUGGCCUUUCUCAACAAGCUUGUUUGAGAGGUGAAGGUAAGGGAUGAAAUGGCCAAAGGCAAACCAUGGAAACAUGGCUACGUGAAGCUUGGAGGAGUUGGGAUUUCUCAUCUUUGCCUUGCAAACUGUGUUACUGUGACUGAGUUCAAAGGAAGUUAUAUAUAUCAACAUUAUGUGGCUGACAAAACUGCUAGAAAUUUUGUUGGCAGAGCCAAAAAGCAAGUCUUCAUAGUAAUUACCAUGACAGCAUCCAAAUUUAUAUAAGACCCUACUUGACUUAGGCACCCUUGACAGCAGAAAAUGGGUAGAAUAAUGAUCAAAUACUUAAAAUUUAUUUUAUUAAAUUAAUUAAAUAAGUAAGUAGUUAUAUUAACUUUACAUGAAAUAAUUUAAAUAAGGUGGGGCAAGGUGGGGCUCUUUUCAAUGGUACAAGUGCCUUUAAUGAGAGGACACUUUGGAAAUGAUCCCUUCACCAAUAUGAUCCACUCAUACAAUGUCCUUAAAUUAAAAGUCACUUAUGACAUCUGGUAUAACGUUAAGAAUUGAGUUCAAUGCUUUUAGGAGUUCAACAACUUGACUUAACAAUAUUUACGAAAAAAAAAAUGUAGAUUCGUGGUCAUAAAUAUGUCACUGGAUAUUAUGUAUUUAUUAGUGUUGAAUUAUUGAGUAAGAUGUAUUCGAUUAACCAAAUGAAAUAGUUGGUUCAAAGCAUAGUCUCUCAUGUAAUUUCAUUUAACUUUACAUGUUUUUACCAAAUGAAAGUUCAAUCGGAUGAUAUGAGUUUCUAAUCAAUUCGAUAUCCAUAUUAUAUUAGCGCAAUCCAAUUGCAAAGAUUUUGGACUUAAUUGUCUCAAUAGCAGCCUCUUCAGCUUUUAAAUAAAAGAACGAAGAAUCUUUUAAAUAAAGAGAACAGGUCCAUGACAAUUGGACUAAAGUCGAUUGAAGUGCAAAAUAAAUGAUGAAUGGGCUUUUUAGAUCUAAUUGGUCUUGAAAUUAAUUAAAUUAAUAAUAUUUAAUUAAUAUAUUAUAAUAACAAUUGAUGUCAGGUACUAGAUAGAUUAUUCUUAUUCAUUAAAAAUUGUUAGAUGAAUGCUAAGUUUCGUGAAGAACGUAUGCCCCGUCUGCAAAUCUUAGGCAUUAGCCACAGGGUCCAAGGAUGUGGAAAACAUGGGGUCCUUUAAUCAAAUCAAAAGUAACAAUAACAACAUGGCUACUUCACAUCAAUAAACAGCAGUGGGACGGACAUCAAUAAUUGAGGUAAGGUUUGCAAUCCAAAAGCAAUCAUACGGAUACAAUGAUUUUCCUUUUUUUUUUAAAGUAAAACAAUUGAAUAAGUUCUUAAAUUAUAUAAAAAAUUUAAUUUUUUUAUAUUUUUAUUGUGUUUAAUUAAAUCUUUGUAUUUUAAUUUUAAACCAAAUAAGUUAUUGUAUAUUAAUUUUGAGUUAAAUAAAUAUUUAUAAUUAAUAAUUGAUUUAAUUAAAAUAUUAUUUGUCAUUUUAUGUCACGUGACGUUGACGUGACAUACUUAUAAUUAAUGUUGAUGUAAUUUGUUGACAUAUUAUAAUUGAUGAUGAUGCGACAUGUUAAUUUGGAAUUAAAAUGUGAUUAUGUAACAUUUUUCACAUCUCAUAUCAAUGUCAUGUCAGUGUCAUAUGAAUAUAAAAUGAUAUGUUGCAUUUUAAUCAUAAAGACUUAUUUGACCCAAAUAAAAGUAUAGGGGUUGAUUGAACACAAUAAAAAAAUAAAGACUUACUUGGAUUUUCUUGAAUAAUUUAGGGACUUUUUUGAAUAGUAUGGUAAAAAAAAAUGAAUAGAUGCUUUACAUCUAAGUCUUUAUCAGAUAUACUUCUCAUGUUUACUUCUUUAAUUUUUUGAAUAUAUAUAUAUAUAUAAUCAAAUAUGUUAAAGUACUUUUAAUUCCAUGCUUAAUUCAAAGAAAUAUAAAUUAAUCGAGAUGAAAUUAUCAAGUUUAUGAAGUUUUCAUCUUGUUACAAGUGGUAAGGUUAUUUGUUUUCGAGGAUAACUGUUUUUUUCUUAACUAACAUUGUAGCUUAAUUGAUAUUUGAUGCAUUGCUCCAUAAAAAUUGAGUUAGCUUAAUGAUAAGUUUGUCAAAUAAGUAAUUUAUUUCAUGAACAAAUCUAGAAUCCUUGCAAUUUUACAUGACUGCAUGCAUGCUGACAGAAAGCCUACAACUUAAAAUUAUCAUAUGAAUGCAGAUUUGCUUUGUUCAGUUUGAAUUUAUUUAGAAAUAUUAUAGACAAAAAAAUCUAGAAUAUAAUUGCUGCUCAUCUUCUUGUCUUUUGGGAUUUUUUGAAGAUGACAAUAUGUACAACCAUGAUAAUAAUAUAUAUGUAAGGAGGGAUUGGUGUUUAGUUUUAUGUCUUUUUAUUAUUUCAUGUAUAUUUAAUGUUUAGCAAAUUAUAUUUUUAUUUAAUAACUUAUACUCGAAUGUAGAGUUUCAAAAUCAAUUCGAUAUCCAUAUUAUAUUAAUUUAAAAUAUUAUCUUUUUUAAUAUAUAUUUAACUGUAGAAAUUUUAUUGUAUCAAAUAAAUACUUAAACAUUUUAAAUUAUUUAAAAUUUGACAUGCAUGAUUCUUGUGCAUAGAUCACGAAAAUCCAACGGUUGGAUUAAUCAAAUAUAAAUAAUUUUUACACUAAUGUAAGUAAAUCCCUCGUCUCGUCUAUCUCUAUAUAUAUUUAUACUUAUAUAGUAAUAUAUAAGAAAGCAUAUGAACCCUAAAUGUGUAAAUAGUUAACCACAUAUAUGCUCUUAAUAAUUUAUUAAAUUAAUUUUUUACCCUAAAUUAAUAAUUUUAUUUUUAAAUUAAAAUAUUGAUAUGCAAAUAUUUUAGAUAUGAAUUAAGUUUUUAUCCUUCCAAAGCACACAGAAGUCAAAAAUAUUUUUUAAAAAGAUUCUACUCUGUUCCAAAAGCCCAAAUGAAUAUCAUUUUCCAUACUAAUAAAGUAAAUCUUCGGUUUGAAUAAUUUUUUCCCUUUUAUAUCUUACUCUAAAGGGUAAUUCAUUUUAAUCCUGAAAUAUAUAUGGAUUUUUUCCCCUAUUUUUUUGGCUAUGCUUUUCCAAAUCAAGCCAACUUCUUAAUAUUUGUAUAUGUUCUUAAUUAAUACAUCUGUGCUCCCCGAGAUAAAUAAAUGAAACAGAUACUAUUACCUUUUAUAUUUAGAUGGCUUUUAAUUAUUCUAUGGGUUUGGCACGUUUAUGAGUUAUACGUCUAAGUCUACUGUGGUCCGACUCUUACUGUCAAUGUUGUGGUUGCUCCUCCAUCGGAUCUCGAGGAACUGAGGGAUAUGAAGAAAGAAGUCACGACUAUGAGGGAUGAGAUGUGGAAUAUGAAGUCAUAUCAAGUAUUAUCAAGAAUUGCGUAGAUCCUCCAAUAUGUGAAGCCGACAGCCAAUUUAGAGACUUCACAACAGCAGUCGAGCCCUUUUAAUAAUAAGGAGGCGCGACUGAAGGACAAUGACACUAGUUAGAUUGUAGGUUUAUUUAGUUAUAUAUAUUUUAUUGCUUGUAAUAUCGAAUAAUUUGUAAUUUUUUAUAAAAAUCAAAUAUUUUUUUUUGUAAAUAUUAGUAUUUUUUAAUAUUAUUGUUUACUUAUAUUUGUAUUAUUCACUUGGAAUGAUAACAAGAAUGAACAAAACCAAUCAAUUUCAAUGUUCCUAGAGAAAAAAUGGUUUCAUAUAUAUUCCACUUUAUUACUAAUGGAAUUACCAACUGAUAUAGCAGUUUACCGAUGAAAUUAUGUACAGCGUUAAUGACAAAAUAAACUUCAUCAUUAGCAGAAAUGAAGACAUCAUCUAUGAAAACUAUAUACAUUCGAACUACUGAGUUUCGUCAGUACUUCUGUUGAAAAUUUUGUCUAUAAAUUAUAGACAAAAUUUAUUGAUAAAAUGCAAUCAAUAGAGACUAAUCAUCCCUUCUACGGGUUGGAUGCUUUGCUGACUGAGUUUCCAAUAGAAUAUUCUGUCAAUAAUUUUUCGACAAAAUAUUCAAAUACUGAUGGCAUGCUCUUUAUCGGUGGUGAUAUUUUCCACGAAUUUUGAACUUUUAUCAACGGAAAAUUUCAUUGGUAAAAGUGUUAAAUUUGGUAGUGGACUAACUAUCGUUAGUCAAAAUGUCACUUCUUAUUUCAUGCCACAUGAUGCUAACAUGGUAUGUUAACAUGUCAUAACAGACGAUGACAUGACAUGUUGAAAUGAUAUAAUUACAUGGUAUUUUUCAUUCUUUAAGUCAAUGUCAUAUGAGUAUAAAAAUUACAAAAUGACAUUUUGAUUAAUCAUAGUUAGUCAAUCUUUAAUAAAAACGGUCUAUUUGAAUUAAAAUAACAGUAUGAGAAUUUAAUUUAAUGUAAUAAAAAAUAAAAAUUUAUUUAAAAUUUUUUAAUAACUUACGAUUUAUUACAAUUUGGGUUUAGGUCUAUAUUAGUUUAUAGAUGGGUAACAAUUUAUUGCAAUUUGCAAGAGAAAUCUUUCAUUACUAUUUGAGAGAUUCUUGAUUGUUUAUCAUAUUCAGAUUUUAUUAUCAAGGAAAAUCUAUCAUGCACUAGUUAUUUGAGAAACCACUAACAUUAUUUAUUUAUUUAUUGUAUGGAGCAAUUAACAAUGAGUUCAUGCACUUUUGGACUUUUGAGGGAUUGGGCGAGGAGAGAUGCAUAAAAAAAAAUGAGAAUCUGAUGGAGUAGAUAUAACUUUUUUUUUGUAAUACCCCAACUCAAAAAUACGAUAACAUUAUUAUGUUUACAAAAUCCUAAAUUUGAUAAAUAGGUUUUAUUAAAAUUAUAAAAUAUUUGAGUUUAUAAUAGAAUAGUUUUAUAUUAAGGACUUUUUAGCAAAUAAAGUGGUUUUAUUUUUAUUGGGGUCAUAUUACAUUAUCAUGUUAAAAAAAACAGUCAGUUAUGUCUCAUCACUUUUUAAAAAGAAAAUCAAUUAGUUUUAUCUAAGUUAAUUCUAAAAAGGAAAAAUAGUAAGACAUGUUUAAAGGAAAACAGGUAAAGUCAGUUUAUUUUAUCACAUAUAAGGAAGUUAAGAUCAGUUUUUAUUAGCACGUUUAAAGAAAAGAAAAAUAAAAUAAAAUAAAAAAUUCCAUUUGUGAGAAACUAAUCCUAGAGAAGAAGGUAGAAAAAGGAAAGAUCUAUUCAAGAAAGCAAUGAUUAAGGUAUGAUUAGGUUUUAACUUUAGUUUAUAUUUCUUUAAUUUCCGUUCAAAUCCGAUACUGUUCUGGUGGCAUGAUGGGUUCCAAUGGAAAUGUCUUGAAAGAUCUUUCCAAUGAUUUAUAUAGCAUUUCGUUUGGCUUUGUAGUUAGAAAGAUAUGAAUUUUUGAAGUUAAUUGGAAACCUGAUUUUAACAGUUUUGACGACCCAACUUUGGGUCAACGGAACUUCAUAUUUUGGUAACAUUUUAGAUUAUUUCUUUGAGGGCUUUUGUAGUAUGAAAUGAGGUGUUUAAUUUGAUGUCAAUGGCUCAGUUUGGGCUUCCUUUGUUAGGAGAAUUAAAGCCUCAAAGUAGAUUUGUUGAUACUAAAAACCCAAAAAUCUGGGUAAGUCUGAUAAUUUCUAAAUUUAUGGCUUUUGAAACUUGAGAAUCUUGUAUUUGUUUUAAUUAAAAUAAAUUUUGGUGUUAUAGUAUGAUAUGAAUACUUCAAAUUGGCAUUAAUUUUAUCAUUGAAAAUAAUUCGAGUUAAGAGUUAUAAGUAUUUGAAGUAAGCCAAAUGGUCAUAAGAAUAUGAAAUUUCAGAAUUUAUGAGAAUUUAUUUUUAAUUAUUUCAAAAAUUAUUCUUCACCUAUAUUCUACCUAUUUUGAUAGAAACUUUAGAAAUUUAAGCUAUUUGAAUUUUAGUGAAUUUUUUUAUGAAUAAAUAUUUAUCUGAUAAAUUAAUUUGAAUUGACAUAUUUUGAAAAUUUUUAUUAAAAAUCUUCAGAUCUAAUUUUGGCUCAUUAGUUGGUGUAUUAUCCCCCUGCCUAAAGAGCAGGGUUCGAAUCCCCCCUCCCCCAAGUAUAAAAAAAAAAUCUUCAGAUCUAAUUUUGGAUUUGUAUUUAAAAUGUUUUCACCCAACGUCAUAUUUUUACUGAUUUUAUACUAUAAUCUAUGAGUUUCUAAGUUUUGAAUGUUUUAUGUAUUUAUAAAUUAUUAAAAGAAUAAAAAUUGAUUUUCGAUAAGCAAAAGAGAUGCUGCUCCUUAAAUGCUUAGAAUGACCACCAAAGAGUCAUCGUUCGUUUUGAUAAGUUAGAAAUGUUGGUUUCUAAUUUCGAGUAUUUUGAAUUAAUAGGAUUCAAGAAGAUUCUAAUUCUUUUUCUUUUGAUUUUGGUUUUAGCAAAUCAGGUAAGUGACUGAUAUCCCUUCGGUGUUUUCACACCCUAAAAUUUACCUCAAUGUGAUUUUCAUACUUGUACAUGAUAUUUUGUCCUAUGAUUUGUUAAAUCGGGUGAGCAUGCUAAUAUAUGUAAGUAAAUAUGAUUUCAAUUUUUGUUCUGGAAAAUGAGUUUUAUCAUUGUAUGCAUAUAUGAUUAUCUUUGUAAAUAUUUAAUUUGAAACGAUUAUGUUUUUGAUAUGCAUGAGAAAGUGGAUACACUAUUUUGUGAAAUUCAGGUAAUAUAAAAAUAUAUGUUUCUGUUUUGUCUCCUAAUAUGUUAAUGUUAUGAUCCUGCCAAUGGGGGUUAAAUGUUGGCCAUGUUGACAUGUAUUAUGUGAUUAGAGAUCGAUCUCUCAACCGCACCACCAGUUACAGAAUAGUGGUAUUUGUAAUAGCUGUUCAGAGCAGUCAAUGGUUGCUUCUGAUACGAUUGUGACCCAUGCCAUAGGGGUUAAUUGUGGUUUUGAUAUGAUUAUGACCCGUGCCACUGAGGUUAAUUGUGAUUUCUGCUAUGAUUAUGACCUAUGUCGUAAGGGUUAAGUAUGGCCAUAGUAUUUUACAGGAGAUCAAUAAAAAUUUGAAAUUAGUGUGAAUUUAUAUUUUGUUCUGUUAUCUGAAAGCUUUGAAAUUGUGUUAGUUAUGUUAUCGGAAGAGAAAUUACGUUUACUUUUGUAAUUUAAAAAUGAAAUUUUGCAAUAUAUAUUUUUGAAUGAGAUUACUUAAAAUUUUGUUUUGACACCUAUAUAUGUAUUAGUAAUUUUGGCCUAAAUGUUUGGAGUAUGCUUAGCUCGGUUGAAGGGAUGUCCGUUACUUGCUGAGUGGUUAUACUCAUUCCAUUAAUUCUCAUCAUUUUACAGAUUUCAACAUCUUUGAAUGUUUGGGAGAUAGACUUGCUUGGCGAGAGUUUUGGUUAGCAAAAUUAACGUAUGCCUUUGAAUAAUUAUAAGCUUUGAUGUGAGUAAUUAGUUUUUCGUUUAUUAAGCAUAUCUUAGCUAGAUCAGAAAUAUGUAUCAUUUAGAGGAUUGUAUUUUAAUAUUAUAUUUUGAGACUUGAAGUUUUGUGAGGUGUAAAUUUUGAAAAGAUUGUGGAGAUAUUAUAUUGAUUAAGUAUGAUAUUGUUGCCUUGCAUGCUUAUGGGAUUUGUCUCAUAAGUAUGUGGCGUCUGUUAUGUUCUAAAGCCUUUGAUUUGGGACGUGACAUUUUUUAUCCCCUACCGCUAUUCAAUUCAUUUAAGGCCAAGACAUUAGAGGUUAAGAAUAUUGAAGGAAAUUUACAAUGAACUUAUUGCAUUAUAUCAUAUUGGAAUCUAAUAGACAUUAAGAAAGCUAGGCAAAAACAACGCUCAAACAGGUUCACUAAACUCGGAUUCUAAAUUGGAUUCUUAUUCUGCUUUUACAAUUUGGAUCUUAAUUAUUUGACCAGAUCUUGUGGACUUUUGAUGAAGUUACUAGUAUAUUUUUCUUAAAGAUCUUUGUUAGAAAGAAUGUUCUUGAGCUUGGCAUGGUUUCUCUUCAACAGACCAGCUAUUUCAUUGUCCUUUUCCAUCACCAACUUGACGGCUUUGCUCAAGUUCUCCUUGGAAAUCUUCAUGUUUUCUCCUUUUUUAGCUUCAACAGCAACCUUGAGUUCCUUUACCAUUAAUCUGGUGUUCAGAAUUUGAUCUCUUAAGCAGGGAAUCAACACAAUUUGGUAGUCACUGAGUAAAGAUUCCCACAUGGUUCUUAGACCACAAUGAUUCACGAAACACCCAAUAGAUGGGUGACAAAGUAACAGCUCUUGGGGAAACCAACCACUAUGCAGCAACCCUCUUCCUUGAAUCUUUUCUUGAAACCCCUCAGGCAAUGCCUUUUCAAUCCUUGUGCAUCUGUCUGGUGGUGUUAAAGCCACCAAGAAAGGUUGCCCUGAUAACUCAAGCCUAAGAACUAACUCUUGAAACUCCUCAUUUUGUAAUGUAAUCUGGCUUCUAAAUGCACAAAACACCACAAAACUUGGCUCAAAGUUGCUUAGCCAAUUAGCCCAUUUGUCUUCAAGCUGUGUGGCAUUUGUUUCAGGGAGGCAAGGCCCUGUUAGCAUAACAGGCUUUCCAAAAUGUUAAGCAACAUAGUCACAGAAAGGUCCCUCAAUUUCACGCUGAGCCCUAUAGGCUAUGGCAUCACUGCCAUUCAUGUCCGAUCCUGAAAUGACAAUCCUAUUCCAAAGAUUUUUUGCACAAUUUUCAGAAUGAAAACCUCUUCAGCUUUGAGUUUCACCUUGGAAGAAGGAUAACCAAGAGGAGCUUCUAUCAACUUUUCUAUAGUCAUUUUCGUUGCAACUUUCUUUGUCGACAUAUGCGCAUUUGCGGCUGCAGUCAUUGCGGCAUAGUAAAUUGACUUGAUGCCGAUUUGGUGAGCCAAGGCUGGAAUCUAAUACCUCAAAUCAUGGAAAACUAUAUCAGGCUUUAUAUCCCUUAUAAUGGCUUCAACUUGAUCCAGUUUGUCCUCGCUUAGGUUGUGGCAAGACGACAAUUUGUUUCACAUGAGGGGGGAUGUCCCACUCACUAGGAUGCCCUACUGGGUGAAUAGACCCCGCAUAACCCUCCACCAAAAUAGUUAUUUUGUAGUAGUCAGCGCAGAAUUCAAUGGUUUCACGUUUGCAUUUACUGAAAAAUUCAAUGAACUCAAUAUUCAAGCACAAUGUAAAUACUAUGUCAAUUAAGGUUCAAAUAAGAAAUAAAGAUAUUCUGACCUUAUUGUUGCAAUGGCAUGGCUGCAUGGUAGUAAAUCUGUUUGGAACUCACAACAUGAACACGUCUUCCUAGACAGGUUUACAAGUCCGUCCAUCUUCCCAUCUUUAACUUCGAACUCCAUUCGAUUGAUAGGUUUAACCACAAAGCAAUGUGCAUCAUUGAACCGUUUGCUCAACUGCUUGGCAACCCAAGGGUUGAGAGGCGUGGUCACCUUGACGGCUUCCUCGUACCAGUCAUGGAACCAACGCUAGAACAUGUCUCUGAUGAACUCGAACAAAAUAGUUGUUAGCAUUUAUCUUGCAUGCUUCAAGCAUGAGUUAACACAUUCCGCAAUGUUGGAUGUCAUCAUUUGGUAUCGCCUUGCUGGUGAACAGGCAUGUGCCCAUCUCUCAGGGCCUAUUUUCAUAAGGUCUGCGUGGGCUCCCGCGUGAAUCUGCUUAAGCUGGUUCAUAUGUUUGUUGAAAUUGAAAACCUUAUAGCAAUCUCGAGCAAGGGUAAAAAUCAUAGAAAUGUCGUCGCGCUUGAACUUGUUUUUAAAGUUUUUCUUCAAGUGGUACCCGCAUAAACCGUGGUGUGCUUCUAGGUAUACAUUUUGGAUUGCUUUCUUAAUGUCGAGAUGUUGAUAAGAAAUGAACAUAGUGUUUUCAAGACAAACAACCGCAUCACGCAGCUUGCUAAGAAACCACAUCCACGAGUCUUCGUCCUCAACAUGGCCAAUGCCAAAUGCAACUAGAUAUAUGCACUUGUUCGCAUCUUUGCAUACAGCAACAAACAGAACACCCUUGAACCUACCUUUUAGAUGUGUCGUAUCAAUUGCAACCAUAGGACGCAUUACAUCCCUAAACCCCUGAAUACAAGCCCCGUAUGCCCAGAAAUAAUAUUUGAAUAUUUCUGCCUCAUCAGUAACUGUGUCGGGAUUUUCUUGUUCUAGCAUAUAAAAAUACGAGGGUAGUAGUUGAAAUGACUCCUCUGGGGGAUCGAAAAUAAGCCUCUUCGCAUACUCCUUCGCUUGCUCGGCCUUACCAUACAAGCAUUCCAAUCCCCACUGAACCUUUAUCUCACUAAUUAUGUCCUUAGGUCUCAAUGCUACUCCAUUAGCCUGAAGCUUGUUUGACAUAAGUUGACCAAUUAUCUUCGCACUUAUGGUUGCAAAUCGCCCUUGCAAACCAUCGACAGUACACGUGUGUACUUUGUGAAAAGUCCAAACUUUCCAAUAUUCUCCUCCUUCAGGUAACUUCAUUGCAUGCACACUGAACUUGCAUGCCUUGUCCUUGCAACCAACCUCAUAACGAGCUUUACAUGACCUUUUUACUCUUAUCCCAAACUGUUAUUUCAGAGCCAACAUGUGUAAAGCUCGUUUCAACUCGGCUUUUAAGGAAAAUAUCCUUCCUUUGUAUAAGCGAUCAUCGGCACAUGUCGACUCCUCAGUUGUAAUUGUUUGGAAGGAGAACCUUUCUGCACCUGAAAUUACCCACGUACGAGAUAUCCCUGCAUUUUCUCUAUCCUAAUAACUGUCAUGGAGCAAUGUACCAGGGGAAUGAAUCCCGUUCGCAUCAGCGAUGGGGUUAUUGUAUAUGGGGUCAUCACACUGAACAUCUCCUACAUCAACACCUCCAAUAGGUUCUGUUUCGCCUUCAACAUUACUGCAAAUUGGAAUAUCAUUGUCAUAAAGCCAGUCAUCGUCUGAACUCUCAUCAUACCAUUCAUCAGGCCCAUCAUUUGAAUUGUCAUCAAAUCUAUCUUCACUGGUAGGGAACAAAUCCUCAUUUCCCUCAUCAGAUGUAGUAUUAUCCUCGAGCAUCGCAGUGUCACCCUCCAACGUCGUAGUGUUGUCCUCAAGUGUUGCAUUCUCAUUUGAAAAUGCCAUUACAACCUGUACAGUUUCACCCGAUCAUUGCAUUUGUUGGACAGAAGUAACUAAUUGGUUCGAUGCACAUCUUGAUCAAAAUUGUGUAACCAACUAUUCUAUGAAUGUCGUGUGUCUACCGAGCUACACAAAUUCUUGUGCAUAUGUCAAUUGCCAUUGUUGUGGGUUACGAACCGAAUGUUGUGGUAUAUGUGAAGCAUUGUAAAUUUCAUUUUGAUUGAGUUGAUUACCAUGUUGUUCAGCUUCUUCACGUGACAUAACAUUUGUUUGGAGUCCCUUAAUGCUGACAUACACAGCCGGAACAUUCCUCUGUUCUAGCAGAAUUAAUGCAAUAUCCUCAUCGUCCUUGGUAAUUGGCCGUAAUAGCUCUUCUGGUGUACUGAUCAAUGCAUGUAACUCAAUCUCGUCAAUUUCUGAGUUUACCCCAACAACAUCUUCAACCAGCUUCAUCAAUCCCACAAACGACAAAUCACUCUUAACCCCCUGCAUUCGUGACUCACCACCCUUGUAAAUGCCAUCCACCCACUGAUCAUUGUGUCUUAUCACAAGUCACAUAAUUAGAACCCCAUUGAAAUUUUGAAAACAACAAUAAUUUAUUAAUCAUUUAACACAUUACAUGACAUGCCGUGUUCUAAAAUUUGUCAGUCAUGUUGUAACACGCCAUGCAUAUAAUGUAAAAUGUUGAACACGUCAUGCAUAUAACGUAAAAUGUUGUAACACGCCAUGCAUAUAACGUAAAAUGUUGUAACACGCCAACGCCGACACACCAAUCACUAUAAUUAUUGUGUCCUUACACGAACUGGCCUAAAAUACCCAUGACGUGUGACACACCAAUUAGUGUAAUUACUGACUUGUUGCACGAAUUGCCCUUAAAUAACCAAUGUUGUGACACGCUAAAAUAACGCUAACACAUGUUAUAGAUGCAUGGUGUGUAACAACUCUGGGCAAUGUUUCUAAUCUAUGUUCUAAUUUACAGCAAAUGUUUCAAAUUUAAGUGUUGCAGCAAUAAACCCAAUAACAUACCUUAAUGUCAUCUAUGCUAUAGGGUCUGUUAAUCGAUGACAAUAUGACUAGAUGCUGAGAGAUAGACAACAGCCCGAUGACGAUGGUGCUCAAUAGAGAGUUGACAAAGCUCAAAUAGUUCAGAGAGUUGAUGACGAUGGUGUUCACUAGAGAGUUGACGGAGUUGAGACAGUUCAGAGAGCUGAGAGAGAAAGAUGAGCGAGCUCAAACAGCUGAGCAUUUAUUUCUAUUUUCUUUGUGGUAGGAGGGAGAUAUCUGGAGCUUAAUUUCAAACGAUGUUUUUAAAGACAUUUUGGUCUACUCAUACUUUUUUUUAGCUAGAAACAGAUAACUUUAUAUGGGUGGUUUUUUUUGAAAUCACCUUAUCAGGAGGUCCAUUUUGCAUAAUUUCCUCUUAAUCUUAUUAAUUAAAAAUUGUUAGAUGAAUAUUAAGUUUGGUGAAGAACGUAUGCCAAAUCUGAGGCAUUAGCCACAGUGUCCAAGGAUUUGCAAAACAUGGGGUGCUUUAACCAAAUAAAAAGUAAUAAAUUACAUAAAAUGGUUUAUGGUGGCAGAAUCAACGGAAGAAGCACUCCCCAGGUGUCUUAUGACUAAUCUGUUUACUAUAACUAAGUUGAUGUUUUGUAGGGUAUCUUGUACCUGGACCUGCAGAUAUCUAACAGACAGUCAACCAUUUAUUUGUUGGCUCCGUAAUUAUCAAACAAUUAUACAGACCCUCAUUAUGCACUCUCAUGCUGUAAUAUUAACUUUCAGUUAUAAUGUGCUUUUCCACUAUUUUUUUCUUUUUCUUAUUUUUUUAAAAUUUUUGCUGUAAUAAUAUGUUGAAUUUGUCACAUUUUUGGUUAUCUACAGGAUCAGAGUGUUGUGUUUCAUUCAUUACGUUGACUUAUAGCAACUUCAUGUGUGUUUAAAGUAAUUUACUAUCAAGGUAAUUUGUGGGAUGCUUGACUCUUGAUCAUAUUCAGAUUUUACUGAUUUACUAUCGAGGUAAUUGUUAUCACUCACCAAUUAUUUACGGACCCACUAACAUUAUUUAUAUAUUUUUGUCAUGGAGCAAGUAAUAAUUGAUUUCUGUAAAAGUGGGUUCUUGUGAUAGGGAGAGAAAGCGUUGCAAAUAAGUAAAAUGAUGUGCCAGAGGUGGCAGAGAGGAAGAUUGAAGCAGUUCCUGAAGUACUAAGUGCUAUGGCAAAUGGAAGACAAUAAGAAGAGACUUAAAGAGACUUAGAGAGUACAAGAUAAUUAGAGAGAGAAUUUAGAGAGAGAAGCUCUCAAGUUGAGAAUGUGUUAGCUUGGAAGGGGAGAAAAGAGUCCUCCCAAAUGAAUUGUGAGGCUCUAUAUAUAGUGCUAAAAGUGACGGUUACAUAAGAAUAGGCUUUAAUGUGCCUAAUGAAUGACAUUAUUAUGAAAAAUAUUAAUGUAAGUAACCGUUACUGUAAUUGGAUGUAGUAAGACUUGUUCUUAAGUAAAGGUAAUAGAAAAGAGGUGUACAAGAAUAGGUACAAGAGAAUAAGCUGUACGAGAAUAGGUAUAAGAGAAUAAGCUGUACAUGAAUAAGUAUACGAGAACAAGGUAAGAGGGUGAAAAACUUGUACUUCAGGAAAUGGUUAAGAGAAAGACCUCUUAACUACCUCCAUAUCUGAGCCACCAAGCCAAACUCUCUGGAACAUCCUAAGAUGAAAGUAACCCAUGAACCCUGCCACUUAUUCUGAGCUACUUUCACUGUCAUCCAAGUGAAGCGGUUAUUCUAUUCAAAGUGACUGUUCUACUUGUAUUAGUUGUUCCAUAUGAAGUAAUACUUUACUUUUUCUAAUUGUUCUACUUUAAGUAGUACUUGAAGUAGCGCUUCACUUGUUUUAGUUAUUCUGCGUGAAGUAACACUUCACUUGUUCUGAUUGUUCUCUAUACAACAUUAUGUUGUAACAUAAUUCUUUAGAGUAACAGUAUUAACCAAAAUCUAGUAUCUACAAUUUCAUUCACUUUUGACUUUUGAGACAUUUGGCUGAGGGAUUUAUAAGAAAAAAGACAAUAUGAUGAAGUAGAUAUAAUUUGUUUUCAUCCCCUACUGCUAUUCAAAUCAUUUAGACAUUAAUAAAUACAGAAAACUUUCUAAAGCCAAUACAUUAGAGGUUAAGAAUAUUGAAGGAAACUAACAAUGAACUUAUUGCAUUAUAUCAGAUUGGAAUCUAAUAGACAUUAAGAAACCUCACCACUAAAACAGGUUUACUAAACUCGGACUCUAAAUUGGAUUCUUCUUCUUCUUUUGCAAUUUGGAUCUUAUUUGACCAGAUCUUGCAGACCUUCGAUGAAGUUAUUGAUAUAUUCUUCUUGAAGAUCUCUGUUAGAAAGAAUGUUCUUGAGCUUGGCAUGGUUUCUCUUCAACAGACUAGCUGUUUCAUUGUCCUUGUCCAUCACCAACUUGAUGGCUUUGCUCAAGUUCUCCUUGGAAAUCUCCCUGUUUUCUCCUUUCUCAACUUCAACUGCAACCUCGAGUUCCUCUACCAUUAAUCUGGUGUUCAGAAUUUGAUCUCCUAAGCGGGGAAUCAACACAAUUUGGCAGUUACAUAGCAAAGAUUCCCACAUGGUUCCACAACCACAGUGAUUCACAAAACACCCAACAGAUGGAUGGCUGAGUAACAGCUCCUGGGGAACCCAGCCACCAUACACCAACCCUCGUCCUUGGAUCCUUUCUUGAAACCCCUCAGGCAAUGCCUCUUCAAUCCUUGUGCAUCCGUUUGGUGGUGUUAAAGCCACCAAGAAAGGUUGCCCUGAUAACUCAAGCCCAAGAACUAACUCUUGAAACUCCUCCUUUUGCAAUGUAAUCUGGCUUCCAAAUGCACAAAACACCACAGAACUUGGCUCAAAGUUGCUUAGCCAAUUAGCCGAGCUGUGUGGGAUUUGUUUCAGGGAGGCAAGGCCCUGUUAGCAUAACAGGCUUGCCAAAAUGUUGAGCAACAUAGUCACAGAAAGGUCCCUCAAUUUCACGGUGAGCCCUAUAGGCUAUGGCAUCACUGCCAUUCAUGCUAGUUAUUAUCCGGUCCUGAAAUGACAAUCCUAUUCCAAAGAUUUUCCGCGCAAUUGUCAGAACGGAAACCUCUUCAGCUCUGAGUUUCACCUUGGAAGAUGGAUAACCAGGAGGAACUUCUAUCAACUCUUCUACAGUCAUUUCCGUUGUAACUUUCUUUGUCGACGUAUGCGCGUUUGCGGCUGCAGACACCGCGGCAUAGUACAUGGACUUGCUGCCGGUUUGGUGAGCUAAGGCUGGAAUCCAAUGCCUCAAAUCAUAGAAAACCAUAUCAGGCUUUAUAGCCCUUAAAAUGGCUUGAACAUGAUCUCGAGUUUGAUCAAAUGCAAUAGCAAGCAAGCUACCUAGCGGUUGAGGAACAUCGGACAUAGUUUCGGCGCCUGGCGGGAUACCAUCUACAUGGGGAACAACAAGAGGAAAGAAUUGAAUAAGAUUCGGAUAGUGGUUAAGUUGUUCCAACUUUGGCUGUGCUCCUUUAGGCAAUAAGAAGGAAACUUGGAGGCCUUUCUCAGCAAGCUUGUUUGAGAGGUGAAGAUAAGGGAUGAAAUGGCCAAAGGCAAACCAAGGAAACAUGGCUACCUGAAGCUUGGUGGAGUUGGAGUUUCUCAUCUUUGUUUGAGAUUCUGCCUAAAAAUCGAGGAAGAAUGAAAGAAGACGUAUGUGUCUACCAUCCAAAUUAUUUAAGACCCUCCUUCACAUCUAUAAACAGCAGUGAUACGGAUAUCAAUAAUUGAGGGAAGAUUUACGAUCCAAAAGCAAUCGUACGGAUACAAUGGUUUUCUUUCUUUUCUUUUUUUAAGAAAAAGCAAAAAAAACCAAAUAAGUUUUUAUAUUUUUGUUGUAUUUAAUUAAGUUUUUACCUUUUAUAUUUAGAUGGCUUUUAAUUAUUCUAUGGGUUUGGCACGUUUAUGAGUUAGACGUCUAAGUCUGCUUGUGGGUCGACUCUUACUGUCAAUGUUGCGACCAUUCCUCCAUCGAAUCUCGAGGAGAUGAGGGAUAUGAAGAAAGAAGUCAUGACUGUGAGAGAUGAGAUAUGGAAUAUGAAAUCAUAUCAAGUAUUGCACAGAUCCUCCAACAUGUGAAGUCCACAGCCCACUUUGAGACUUCAUCACAGCAGUGGGGCCCUUUUAAUAAUUAAGAGGCGAGACUGAGACAACGGCACUAGUUAGAAUGUAAGUUUAUUUAUUUAUAUAUUUUUUAUUGAUUGUAAUAUCAAAUAUUAUAAUUUGUCAUUUUUUAUUUAUUUUUAUAAAAAUCAAAUAUUUUUUAUAAAUAAUAUUUUUUUAAUAUUAUUAUUUAUUUGUAUUUGUAUUAUUCAUUUGAAAUGAUAACAAGAAUGAACAAAACCAAUCAAUUUCAAUUUUCCUAGGAAAAAAUGGUUUCAUAUAUAUUCCACUUUAUUACUAAUGGAUUUACCAAUUGAUAUAGUAGUUUACUGCUGGAAAUAUGUAUAACGUUAGUGACAGAAUAAACUUCACCACUGAUGGAAAUGAAGACAUCAUCGACAAAAACUACAUACAUUUGAACUACUAAGUUUCGUCAGCAUUUUUGUUGAAAUUUCUGUCAGUAAAUUACCGACAAAAUUUGCCAACGAAAUACGAUCAAUAUAGACCAAUCAUCCCUUCAACAGGUUGGAUGUUUUACUGAUUGGGUUUUCGACAAAAUAUUCAAAUAUUGAUGGCAUGCCCUUUACCGGUGAUGAUAUUUUCCACAAAUUUUGAACCUUUGUCAAUGGAAAUUUUUGUUAGUAAAAGUGUUAAAUUUGGUAGUAGACUAACUAUCAUUAGUCCAAAUGUUACUUGAUAUUUCAUGCCACAUGAUGUUAACAUAACAUGUUAACAUGUCAUAAUAGAUGGUCAUAUGAUAUACUGAAAUAACAUAAUGAUAUGGUUAUGUGGUAUUUUUCAUGCUCCAAGUCAAUGCCAUAUGAGUAUAAAAAUUUUAAAAUGAUAUUUUGAUUAAUCGCAGUUAGUCAAUCAUUAAUCAUAAAGGUAUAUUUGAAUUAAAAUAAAAUUAAGAGAAUUUGAUUUAACGUAAUAAAAAAAUAAAAAUUUAUUUAAAAUUUUUUAAUAAUUUAAGAUUUAUUGCUAUUUGGGUUUAGAUCAUAUUAGAGUAUAGUUGGGUAAUAAUUUAUUGCAAUUUGCAAGAGAAAUCUUUCAUUACAAUUUGAGGGAAUCUUGACUUUUGAUCAUAUUCAGAUUUUGUUAUCAAGGAAAAUCUAUCACGCACCAAUUAUUUGAGAAACCACUAACUUUGUUUAUUUAUUUAUUGUAUGGAGCAAUUAGCAAUGAAUUCAUGCACUUAUGGACUUUUGAGGGAUUGGAUGAGGUGAGAUUCAUAAAGAAAAAUGAGAAUAUGAUGGAGUAGAUUUAAUUUGUUUUUCAUCACCUACCGCUAUUCAAAUCAUCUAGAGCCAAGACAUUAGAGGUAAAGAAUAUUGAAGGAAACUUAUUGUAUUAUAUAUGUCAGAUUGGGAUCUGACGAACAUUAAGAAAGCUAGGCACAAAAACCGGUAAAACAGGUUUACUAAACUCGGAUUCUAAAUUGGAUUCGUCUUCUUUUUUAGCAAUUUGGAUCUUAUUUGACCAGAUCUUGCAGACCUUUGAUGAAGGUAUUGAUAUAUUCUUCUUGAAGAUCUUUGUUAGAAAGAAUGUUCUUGAGCUUGGCAUGGUUUCUCUUCAACAGACCAGCUAUUUCAUUGUCCUUGUCCAUCACCAACUUGAUGGCUUUGCUCAAGUUCUCCUUGGAAAUCUCCCUGUUUUCUCCUUUCUGAACUUCAACUGCGACCUCGAGUUCCUCUACCAUUAGUCUGGUGUUCAGAAUUUGAUCUCCUAAGCGGGGAAUCAACACAAUUUGGCAGUCACUGAGCAAAGAUUCCCACAUGGUUCCAUAACCACAGUGAUUCACGAAACACCCAACAGAUGAAUGGCUGAGUAAUAGCUCCUGGGGAACCCAACCACCAUACACCAACCCUCUUCCUUGGAUCCUUUCAUGAAACCCCUCAGGCAAAGCCUCUUCAAUCGUUAUGCAUCCGUCUGGUGGUGUUAAAGCCACCAAGAAAGGUUGCCCUGAUAACUCAAGCCCAAGAACCAACUCUUGAAACUCCCCCUUUUGCAAUGCAAUCUGGCUUCCAAAUGAACAAAACACCACAGAACUUGGCUCAAAGUUGCUUAGCCAAUUAGCCCAUUUGUCUUCAAGCUGUGUGGCAUUUGUUUCAGGUAGGGAAGGCCCUGUUAACAUAACAGGCUUGCCAGAAUGUUGAGCAAUAUAGUCACAGAAAGGUCCUUCAAUUUCACGGUAAGUCCUAAAGGCUAUGACAUCACUGUCUUUCAUGGCAGUUAUUAUCCGGUCCUGAAAUGACAAUCCUAU